Molecule: long non-coding RNA, 55063 nt
Filed under: Brachypodium distachyon (stiff brome)
Lineage: Eukaryota; Viridiplantae; Streptophyta; Magnoliopsida; Poales; Poaceae
Description: long non-coding RNA (BDIS_LNC000835)
Rfam family: MIR1120/MIR1122 microRNA precursor family (bases 21352-21484)
Source: RNAcentral
UAUGCCGCACUCAAUUAUUUUUAAUAAUUGCUAUCAAAAAAUAGCCAGAAAACUUGACAAAAACUGGUUGGGCAAACAGAACUAGUAUAAAUCACCACAAUGCCAAACAAAAACUGAAUUGGGCAAUUGUAUGCGUGUGAUGAUGCCUUUUAUUUUCUUACUGAUUACAGGAAAGCAGGAAAGAGUUGGCCAGCGACAUUGAGACCUUGAAGAAAAAGAUCGCUGGAACAGAGUAAACUUGAGUUCUCCGGAAGGUUUUGGAUGCUUCUUUGGUCUAUCCAUCUAAUGGAAGAACACCUACUUGCUUAGAGUACUACCAAUUGCCUUUGUGUGCUACAUAUAUAUCUGUAUGCAAAAAGAAUCUUUGGUAUGGUGUCCAAUGUCAAUAGUGAAAUUGUACCAAGUGUUUGAAAGCCUUCUCUUUCUUUUUAUAUAAAUGUGUUUGUGCGAGCAGUGAUCCGUUGGAUUAGCUUUAGAUGUUAGAGUAAAGAUGAGAGACAAGAAUGUUCUUGAGUUUACUUAAUACCACUAGUUACACUAGUAAAACAAACAAAUAGUUGGAGACUAGCCAUACUCAUCGUAGUUAUCGCUAAAUUGAAAGUCUACCAUAACGUGGAGGAUAGGUGACUCGGUUAUUUAAUUUAUUGUUUUAGUUAUUCGAGAAUAUUGUUGUUUAUAUAAAGUAUGAUGUACAAUAACAAUAAAAUAACUUAAUUUAUAAUAGCAGUAUAGGUAACUAGUUAAACGACUAUAGUAAAAAUGGAUAUGUCAAUCAAACAUCAAAUUCUAUACAAGUUUCAUGAAUAAAUAACAUCCUUUAAUGCAGUAUGAUAUAAUAUUAUGAAUUUGAAAUAAUAAUUAGUUUAUGUUAUAUUAAAUUGUAUAAAUUAGAUUUGAUGUUAACCAAUAAGGUGAUAAUUGUAUUGUUUAACACAAAAGCAUACGACAGAAGAAUUCUAAAUUUUGUAUAUUAAGAUACAUUAAUUUGGAUCGGAUAAUAGUCUCCAUGGCGUAUUAUUUGUCACGAAGACCUUUGAAUAUGUUCAGAAUCAUUUACGGAGGACGAGUGAGAACCCGUUGUGUAUUAAGUAUCUACUAAUGCCGAACUAAUUUCGCUCUAAAAAGUCACCAUAAGUAUAGUCGCGUGACCGCCAAACCCCCUCCCUAAUUAGAAUGUUUAUUGUACUCACAAACACGCGCGUACACUACUCGCCACUAUUUAUGAACUCAACAAAUAGUAACGAACCAGACUACCAGAGAUUAACUCACUUUUUAAUUUGAUGAUAUGUCAAAUGUAUGUUCUACUACUAGAAUGUGAAAUCAAUUUGUGUUAAAUCUAUUAAAAAAACAUUUACAUUCUUACGGUACAACAACCGACAUAUGUUGAAAAACAAAAUUCUUGUCCCUCGUCGCCAGUUUAUGCGUCUGUCCCUAUUUGGGAAUACGUGCUUAUCUGAGUUUCAUUUUGUUAUAUGAACCGGUUAACCUGAUGUAGAUGAUUAUUUCUCUAACAGUGACACACGCCAUUUUAUCUUAUCUUUUCCACGCUAAUCUCUCUGAUCACGACUCCUAAAAUUCUAACUGUGGUGAACUAAGUGCACCUGGGAUGGGCGAUAUUUUAUCUUACUUUAUGAAUCUAACUUCUUUUGAAGAACUUUAUGCGCGAUUGUAAAGUGUCAAUGAUUAUGUGUUGCGAUGAAAAGAUGUACAACAAUGUUGAUAUUUAGGUCAUGAUAAAUUAAUUUUUUACAAAAACAAAGUUGUUUGGUAAAAUAAAAUUAUAAUAAAAUCUAUAAAAAUUUGACUUGCGAUACGGUAAACAAAGUUUAUCAUAGUGCUUAUAACUUUUGUUAACAGAAUAAUCUGUAAUUUGGAUAUUUUUGUUAAAAAGAUCAUAAGUUAAAUUGACUAAUAUUGGAAAAUUAUUUUCCAUCUAUUUACAAAAAGUCAAAUAAUAACAUUGACUAAAUAUACAUUUAGUUUCGUAUAGAAAAAAUAUCAACGACGACAAUCAUUUUACCAAUUUAUUUUGGCCAACAUGCAUAUCAUUAUUAUACUUAAUAUUUUGUCACUCAGGAUGCUACAUGCCGAGUUUCACUUCUACAUCUUUGUCGGUGGAUGCCCAGUUUCACUUCUACAUCUUUGUCGGUGGUACAUGCAUGUUGCUAGAGCUGACAGGAAUAAUUGCUUCUGUCUCGAAUUCUUUGACCGGCAUGCGGGAGAUCUGAUCACUGCAUUUUCUUUUACCGGAACAUGUAAACAUUUUGCAGAUUGUCCAUAUUACUCUAGGGUGCGUAAAAUGGGAUGAUGUCAGCCUUUUCUUAAUAUGUAAGUUAUAUGAUACAAAACCAUGAUCAUUAGUAAGAAUUUUCAAAGACGAAUCUAUUGAUAUAAAUUUCAUGUAUGUAGAAACACAUAUCAAUAGAGUUUUCAUCGGUCACAACUUUGUCUUAACAAAAACAAAAUACGCCAACCUUUGUAAAAUGGGAGGAGUAUUUGAUUAAUGUUAUUUAUCUAGGCAUUAAUUAUAAGAUAUGACCUAUUGUACCACAUUGUUUAUUGUCUUUUCUAAAUGACGUGGAACACACAAGACAACAAACCAUUACUUAGGCUCGUACUAAGAAGAGUGAGAGAAUGUACAAUAUUAGAUAUAAUAACAACCUCUCCAACAAGUGGUUUCUUAACCUUGUUACUAACACCUCAAAAGUAUAUAUAAUAUAUUGUAGUUGGUCCCACAAAAACAUGAUAUAAUUAACAACCCUUGCUCUAAUAGUACUUUUGUUGUUACUUACGUCUUGGUUUGCGUGUAGUACUAGUUUCUUUAGGGAGAAACCACUACUUCUUUGCUCCUCGGCUUUAUACAGCCACAUCAUCAAAUUUUGACAUGUCAUCAUAUUAGUACCAGCUGACUCAUCUUAUUGGAGAUGCCCUUAUAAAUCAUUGCACAUGAGUUUAUUACUCCCUCUUAUCCAUAUUAAUUGUCUUAAAUUUGCCCAAAUAUGGAUGUAUCUAUACCUAAAAAGUGUCUACUGAACCGGAGUAGUUUUUUUUUCAAAUUGCUAGGGCACAGUCUUCUGAGAAAAUACUUUUCUCAGUCGACGCGACAUUUAGAUGAAAUAAAUAAAAUAAUAACUAGUAUUUGGCAAAAGUCGUUUGUUGGUCUGGUGGUUCGGUGGUGUUAUGCAUGUAGUGCAUGUAGAGCAGGGCUCCGGCACCAGCGGGUUCGGGUACGGUCAAUACCGACGACCGACCCUCAACCGCUAUCGGGUAUGAAAUUUAACCGUACCCGCCACUCGCCUCGGGUACGGGUUACCCGCGGGUAUUUUUACCUGACCCGCUGAGCAUUUAGAAAACCGAAUUCAGCAGCAUACACACAGAAAAUAAAAAAGUAGGAGCAGAAAACAAAUCAGUAUGCAUCAUCAUAAAACUCUCACACAUUGUCGAACUAGCUAGCAUUAAUAAUCUUCCGUUCUGAACAACACAGAGCAAAGCCAGCAGCGGCGCCGUUUCAAACAGCACGAACUCCCCUGUGCUCCUCGUCUUCCAAUUUUCCUACUUCUCCAACAUACCUCAAUUAAUUAUUACAGGCGUAUCUUUUGAACUUUGGUGUCGUUUGCUUUUCUCAGUUUUUCCUAAUUGAGCACAACGUUGAUGCAAACCGUUCUUACCAUCAAGGCAUCAAUGUAACCACGCACCCAAAGAGCAUGCGGGUCCUCAUCACGCUGGACUGGCGGGUGGCACACCGAACCAUGGCUCACCCAUCGCGUCCUUAAGGAGCACGCCGAACAGCUUCACGUUCUUCUCCUCGCACUCGGGUCGGCCCUGGCGUCCGCAGUCGGCAGGUGUCGUGCCUGUUGGAGGAGGCAGGUGCGCGGUCGGCGGACUGGUGGAGGAGGCGGGGCGCGGCCGCGCGGGCAGGUGGAGGAGGCGGGGCGUGGCCGCGCGGGCUGGUGGAGGAGGAGGCGCGGGCCGGCGGACUGGCGGAGCGAGGCCGCUCGGGGAGGAAGCUAGGCGUCAGCGGAAGGCGGAGAGCUGGAGGAGAGGCGGCCAGGUGGGGGCGUGAGCGCGACGGCGCGGUGGAGGGCAGGCGCCCCGGCCUGGCGGCGGACACGGGAGGGGAUUCAGGCGGGGCGGGGAAUUUGGGGGUUAGGGUUAGGUCAGUGGGGCUGAGGGCAUCCGGGUUUAUAUACGAUGUGUAUUGGUUUGGGCCUUAGGGAAAGAAUAAUGGACGUAUGUACUGGGCUGGCUAGUCAAGUGCAGGUACAUGGGUGUACGGGUUCGGGUAGUACAAUACCAUAUCCGUAUCCGUCAUACCUGUCGGUACAGAAUUUUACCAUUUGCGUAUCCGCGGGUAUUUUUUCUCACCAUACCCGUAUCUUAAACGGGUACAUACCCGUCGGUAUGCGGGUAUCGGGUACCCAUAGCCAUCCGUAAGCAGGACGCAGGUUCGAAUCCUGGACGCUCUAUUUUUUUUACUUUCGGUUUUUAUUUAUAACUAUUUUUUUGUUUGUAAUUUUUAUUUCUCUUGAUUUUCUUUGUUUUCAAGUUUAUAUAUGUUCACUAAUGUAAAAUAGCAUUAUAAUAUAAUUUGUACAUUUAUUUUAUUCGAAAUAUUGCACAUUCGGACGGCUAAAAUUGCACGUGAAAUUUUGUGUGCAAAUUUGGAUCUUGAAUAUUAAAAUUGGAUAUUGCACCUUCGGAUGGCUAAACUUGCACGUGUUUUUUUGUACAAAUUUGGAUUUUGAAAUAUACGAUUAGAUAUUGCACUUUCGGACGGCUAAAUUUGCACGUGAAAUUUUGUGUGCAAAUUUGGAUUUUGAAAUGUACAAUUGAAUAUUGCACCAUCAGAUGAUUAAAAGUGCACACGAAAUUUUGUGUGCAAAUUCUUAUUUUGAAAUGUGCAAUUUGAUAUUACACCUUCGGAUGGCUAAAAUUCCACAUGUUUGGAUUUUAAAAAUUGCACGUGAAAUUUUAGAUGCGAUUUUUAAAAAUUGCAAGUGAAAUAUGGGCAAUUAAAAAUUGCACGCAAAUUUCACUCUCUCACACACGCACACACGCACACGCACGCGCGCGCACACACAGCCCUGAGCCAUCGACUGAGAAACUCUCUCAGUCGACUUAGACGUAGGCACUUUUUUUUUCCGAAGGAGAGUUUAUUAGUUCACGCUACCUUGUUCCGUUAAGCAAACUCUCCAACUUGCUGCCCAAAAGAAAAAAGAAAAAAACCAACUCGAAGGCGACGGCAAAUUCUGAAGAACGCCUGCGACCUGUGCGGAAUGUUACCUCCUGCCUCUACCACGGGCUCUCGCCUCUUCCACCCCGCCGCCGCGGCCGCCUCUCGCCGCACCAUGGCUGCUGCCGCAUCCGCAAACCCGCCGCCCCCGCAGCAAUCGGUCCCCAAGGCGGUGCGGGUGGUGGUGAAGGGCCGCGUGCAGGGCGUCUUCUUCCGCGACUGGACGGUGGAGACGGCGCGCGCUCUCGGGCUUGCCGGCUGGGUCCGUAACCGCCGCGACGGCACCGUGGAGGCCCUCCUCUCUGGCGACCCCGCCAGGGUCGACGAGAUGGUCUCCCAGCGCCUCCCCGUCGGGCCCCCAGCCGCCGCCGUCACUGCCGUGCUCCCCUCCCCCGCCGAUCCGCUCGAUCCCUCCGAGGGCUUCAACCGCAAGCCCACCGCGUGAUGAAGGCUGGUUCUUGUACGUGACAUGGUAAUCUUACCUCUAAAUGUUUCUCUUUGUAAUGAUUUUUAGCAAUCUAUUGAGCCUUUAUUGAGCGAGAUAUCAGCACUCAGUAGACUGAAACCCUCGUCAGACUACUAGAAUUGAAAUUCCUGGUGACAGGACCGUUAGUAUGGUUCCUUGAGUGCACUCUACUCCCGUUGUUUGAUCAUGGCUUUUCUUCGGGUAGUGAGAUGUUUUCUGUGAUACACAAAGAUACUGGUUGCAGAUUUUUACUGACAUUGGCCUUUUCUUUUUGGAAGAAAUUUGGCUGUUUUAUAUUACUUAAACCUUGUGAGAUCAAACUGAAAUUAGAUGUUAGUACAGAUUUCUUUUCCCCCUAAUCAUUUCUGUACGGUGUCCUAUUCCUGGGUCACAUACUAUGGAACCCUGUGAGAUCAAACUGAAAUUAGGUGUUAGCACACAUUUGACCCUAAUCAUUCUUUACAGGUUUACUAUUCCUUGGUCACAUGAAAAUCUUAAUUGCACUGCAUUGAGCUAAAGCUAAUAAAAAUUGUAAAAUUUUGUGUGCAAUCUUAAACUAAAGAAAUUUGUAACCCCAAUUUAGACUCGAUAUUCCAUUAGUCCCAUUGCAUAGUGGUCUGAGUUACGGUCCUGGAUUCAGCUCCUUGGAUACCUGGAUACAUAUGUGUGCGUGCAUGUCAUAAAGCGGAGAAAGAAAAUUACAUUGUGAAAAAAAAUGAAAUAUACUCUGUAGAAUACUAUUUUAAGGGGCCAGACAGAAUUUACAUGAAGGGACUAGUAGAACAAAAUAGGGAGCUAGAAAAUUGAUACACAGGGACAAGUAUAACAAUCUAGUGUUCUGUUUGGUUUUGUUUCAAGCAGAUUUUAAAUGCCAAAUAUGCCAACUUGUCACUCAAAUGACUAUACAUUAUGAAGCAAAUUUCUUAUCCAAAACCUUUUGUCUCAACAAGUUUUCAUGCAGUUCAGGUCAAGGAAAAAAAGUUUCAUCCAGAGGCUUCUUUCGGAAUAAAAGUUCAUGGCCAGCCUUGGUUGAAAUCUCCACUUGUUCUGGCCUCUGCUCUAGACCUACCGGUCGGCUGCAACUCACCAUUCACCGGGAUAGCAGUGGCGGAUAGGGUUUUAUCACCGGGAUGUCAGUGUAUGCACAAUUUAAUUGUCAUGUUCAGACAACACAAAUUCGACAUAUAAGUAGCUUAUUGUGGUCUUUACCAUAAUAAUUCAAAGAAAAGGCGAAUAGUGCAGUUGUGGAGUUUAGUAUUUUUGAACCAUAGGCAUUAGAUCAACCAGGUUAAAUGUAAAUACUACAUGGUAUGGGAAAAUUUGCACAUUUUGGAGGGGGCUAAGGGUGCGACCCCUAAACUGUAGCCCCAGCCCCCAGGUAACCCCUAUCCUGCCGGUCCAGCCUCUCUUUGAGUACCUCUAAUGUAUAAGAUCACCAUUUGCCUUACGUGAUGUUUCAAGGACCUUGGCUAUUCCGGGGUUGAUGCUUGUGCUAGAGUAUAAUGGAGGGUCUAACCGGGAUGAGCCCUUUGAACCGUGCACCAGUUUGGGCGCAGAUCAAUGGUUUUCCUGCACUGUACUGCCAAUAGUCGGUGGUCGACAAGCUUGCAAGGAGGGUUGGGAAAGUCUGGAGUGGAGAUGAACCUAGUGGAGAGUUUGAAGGGGACUAUAUUAGAGUGUGGGCAAGCAUCGAUGUCCAGGAACCAGUGAUCAGGUUUGCACUCGAGACCCAGGGUGUUAAGCAUCUCCUCUUGGAUGUAAAAUAUGAGAAAAUUGGGUACUUCAGUGAGUUGUGUGGAGUGUUGGGUCACACUAUGGAGACUGCGAGGCUGGGGUGCAUGCACCAGAGAAAAAUCCGGUAUGGCAAGUGGCUUUUGGCGAAGAGAAGAGUUUCGUCGACGAGCCUCUCCCUAGGCGCACUCGUGCAGGGGGCCGUGCUCAUGAUGGAAGGGUUAGACACGAGAGGGCCUAUGAGACCUUGUCCAAUGCGUCGCUAGGUACGGGUGCUAGGGAGAAUAAUCACAUCCAUUUUAUCAGUUUGGGAUUUAUUUCCGAGCACAGUGUUGGCAUCGCUGCUUCUAUUUCAGUUGAGCUCACCCAAUACUUCAAGCAAUUUGUGCGUGUGGAGAUUUUAGCCAGGCUCCUAUGAAUUAGUUAUUUUGCAUUGGACCAGAUGGAUGCUUAAUCAGGCGCUUUAUCUGGUGACAAUAUUUACUCUCCUUUAGCGCCUUUGUAAGCAAGCAUCGUUGCACUGGAGAUGGCCUAAGCACUCCUCUGAGGAAGCUGACCUGAACAGAGAGGGGGAUUUGAAGGAUACUGCACCUAGGCCAGCGAAGAUCGCAGGAGGCGAUCACAUGGACGCCAAAAUAUUUCUGAUCGGGGACAGCAUGGUUCGGUGGAAAGGAAGCUGGACCUGGGAAAUAUGGUGGUUUGUGAGUUGUGACUGUCAACAGAAGGGAUUCAACAAUGGUUGAUCCUGGGGAGGAUGUGGAUGAAGCAGGGGAUCGAAGUUAACGCGGGGGCUGUGACACCCUCGCUAUCUAGCCCCAUCUUCUCAGCCACAUGUUUCACCUCAGGCCCACCAAAUUAAUUUAUUUUGUCCUAUACUAUAGAGAGAUUAGCAGGAAACUAGUACUUGUGACACAGAGAGAUUAGCAAGGAACUAGUACUUGUGGCAGUCACGUAUUUUUUUUACUGACAACUCUUUAUUUUUAUCUGGUUCUUUCUCGUUCUAUGCAUCUCUAUCCCAUUUUUAAGUACAUUGCGGUACACAACAUGUUUUGAAGUACAUAUUUCGUACAUUAUGGUAAAUAAACUGUACCUUCUCAGUUUUCAAAUAUCUCGUAUACAUGAACUUAGGAGAGGAGUACAUCGUAUGGUACAUUACAUGUACAUUAUCAUUUUUUAAGUACCUCGUGUAUAUGAACUACAUCGUAUGGCACAUCACAUUUUUUUAGAAAAAAACAACAGUACGUAACAAAUACUUGACAAGUACAUCAACACACAUCACAAAUACAUCGAGAUACAUGACAAGUACAUCAGAGACACAUCAAGGUACAUGACAAGUACAUCAAGGCACAUCACAAAUAUAUCGUGGCACAUGACAAGUACAUUAAGACACAUCAGAGACACAUCAAGGUACAUGACAAAUACAUCAAGGCACAUGCAAGUACAUCAAGACACAUCACAAAUACGUCGAGGCACAUGACUAGUACAUUGGGUACAUCUUAGUACGUUAGCAUUAAAAUGCACAUUAAACUACGUCAAACAAAUGGAAUUAUACAGUUGAGUACCAGGUACCUCUCAAUCCUCAAUCACAGUACCAAGUGGUAUCCAGAAUCCUCGCUAAACAAGCAGAAAGAUCCCCAUUAAAUCAGCACAAAAAUUACACCUUCGAUGCAGUCAAUCGAUGUGCAGGGACCCGACGGCUCCAGACGUCCUCCACGGCGGCUGUUCCCGACGGCGUGGCGUCCUCCUUCUCCUGCACGGAGUUGGAUUGGACAGGCACCGAGGCCGGGCUUCCCCAUGGCGCAGAGAGCGUGAGUCGUGAGGGAGAGGAGAGGGAGGAGAGAGAGAAAGGAGAGGAAGAAGGAAGAGAGGACCAUCCUGUUAAUUUCAUGUCCCCAGAGAUUAAAAGAAAAAAAAAGGGACACGUGUGUGGUGGAGAAGGUGGGGCUAGAUAACGGUGGAGUCACCAUGAACUUUGGCGGAUCGAAGUAUUGAUGUUUCCCCACCAACACCGCAGUACGUAGAAAAAAAAGGGACACGUGUCUGAUGGAGAAGGUGAGGCUAGAUAGCGGUGGAGUCACCAUGAACUUUGGCGGAUCGAAGUAUUGAUGUUUCUCCACCAACACCGCAGUACGUAAAGCCAAUGGCUAGCGAGAGAAUCAAGAAAAGGCACGCCCCCUACAGCGGCGCAGAACAUGGCAUAGGGAUCAGCUGCCUCUUUAGAGUUAAGGAGGAAUUCAUCGCAUAAUUUGCCGUGGAACACUGCCAAGUAAUUAAGCUGAACGAUCCGCAUCACGCGGAAUGAGCUACAAAGAAAGAGAGCAGAAUUUUGUAGGAACCCGAGGAAGAUUUUGCUGGACCUAGAUGUUAAGCUCUUCUCAACUAGCUGUGGUGAACUAGAUACAUCUUCUCUCUGUUCGUGAUCUCCUUACAAAUCGCGACAUGAGAAUGUGAGGUACACAUACAUCACUAUCGAUAUCGGAAGAUCUAUCUAGCUAUUACCUGUACCUGCUUACACAUCAUGGAUACAACCAAGGCCUGAGGGAGCACCAGGGCCAGCACGGGCCCUGGCCCCCUCUAAUAUUUGGAAUUUGUACUUAAGCCUUCUCAUAACUUUUGCAAUUUUAUCUUAUAAACUUCGGUUUUUAUGCUUCGGUUCCACCAAUAAAUCAUCUCUUCUAUUCUGACCCUCCUGUGUUUUUUUCCUGUCUCCGCCACUGGAUACAACUCACUCUCAAACCUUCUCUUGCAGCUCUACCACGGACUCGUCCUUGCCCUCCUGAUCCGUCUCGUGGAGGAGCUGCAGGGGCUUGAACGUGUAGCGCCUGGCGCAUAUGACGUAGUAGACGAGGUUCAAGACCUGCAGCAGCGUCACGAUCCAGUAGAAGUAGUCGAGCUUGCCGCGGUUGAUGUUGUCCGGCAGCCAGUUGGAGCCGCCGGGGCCAGCGCUCCACCGGUGCACGACGGCGACGAGCAGCGUGCUCACGUAGCUCCCCAGCGAGAUGGACAGCCAGAAGAGCGCCGUGGCUGUGCUGCGCAUGCUCUCGGGCGCCUGGUCGUACAUGAACUCCAGGUGGCCCACGGACGUGAAGGCCUCCGCCACCCCAUGCAGCGCGUACUGCGGCACCAGCCAGUAGGCCGACAGCGGGGCCGUGCCCGCGUCGGUGGUUCCUCCGGCAGCAGCAGCCUCCCUGCGGUGCCGCUCGACGAAGCCCGCCACGAGGCUGGCGGCCACGGAGAUGGCGAAGCCGACGCCCAUGCGGUGGAGGACGGAGAUGCCGCGGUCCAGCCCCGUGGAGCGGCGCGCCACCGGGACGAGCACGCGGUCGUAGGCGAAGAGGGUGACGAGCAUGGCCAGCAUGGUGAAGACGGUCAUGGAGCCCGCGGGGAUCUGGAAGGAGGAGAGGUGCGGCGCGAGGCGGCGGUCCAUGGUGCUGGCCUGCUGCAGGGAGAAGGUGUGCUGCUGCGACGACGCCGUGAUCACCAGGAUGCCCGCCGCCCAUAUCGGGCCCAUGCGGACCACCGACUUGAGCUCUUCCACGCGGUGCACGGUGCUCAGCCGCCACAGGUUGGGGAUGGGGGCUGGAGGCAGCUUGUCGGAAGUGGCGGCGGCGUCCGUCGUGACCAUGUCGCCGUCGGUGACGAUUGCAGCGCGGUCAAAGAAGCUGCACGAUGAACAGUUAGAGUGAAGAAACAGUCUGAUCAGCGGUAAACUGACAGCGCGAAGCUGAAACCACGAUGCUAAGCUUAUACACUGGGAAAUUUUGCCACCGCCGACUACAUUGUCGCCACCUCGUUUCAUCAGAAGAAGAAAAAUCCCUGGUGGCCAGUGGCUUGGUGACAUAUCGUUAUUGCAGUGGGUAUUAACUAUUAAGGCGGUGAGAGAGUACGUCCCACGUGCAUAUUUGCCGACCGCUCGAUCUGUUGUUCGGAUUAAGUUUUGCCGAUGAAGAGAUUGGAAUCGACUAUGGAGACGGGGAAGACGAUGUCGACAGCAAGACUUAUGUCAGCUAGAACGGAGCUCAAACUGGAGCCGUGCCAAAUUCCACUGCGGCGUCUAUCGUCUCGGCUCAGCAGUCAGCACUACUAGUACAGUAGUAGUGCAGCACGGGAGCGAGCAACGUGCUCAUUUUUGGCGCAUUUGCUGACUAAGUCCUCUUGUUCAUCGAUGCUCCUGGCCCUCUAAACAGCUGCAACAAAUAACUGGUACUCGCCAAUCUUUUAUCGUUGCUGCCGACAUGUAAUACUAACUUCCAUUCGGAAUUGAAAAACACCAAAAACCCCGAAUUUAAAGUAGAGAAGAAGAAAAUGUAUUCGCGGUUGCUUGUUUCCUUAGUUUGGGUUGCGUUCUUAUUUUACGUAGCUUGCCACUAUAAUUUUACAUCGUAUUCCUUUCAUUCGAGUUUACAAGACCUCUUUCUUAAAAAAAAAUUAACCGACACAACACCGGAAAAAGAGAAAAUAAAUGUCGAUUUAAUGGUGAAAAACACUAGUACCAAAAUGAAACGCUAAUACUAAACCAAAAACACUCGUGAUAAGGCAAAGAUGGCCCAAUGCAUGCGAUAAAAUUAUUGUUAAGGUUGAAACCAAAAUAACUAAUGCACAUGGUUAAGAGGGAGAAAUAUCUAGAAAAGAUGCCUGUUUAUUAUUGCCCCUUUCUAUUUGACUGCACUCUCAAAUUUUUAGAAUUUAUAGCACACUUAAAAAUAGAGGAGUGGGCGAUCAAAAUUUAUUGCUACUAUCGGGCGCCCGUUAGAGCGUCGCAUAACUUUGUACAAUUGAAUCAUGUAGAUGUUUUAUUCACGUUGCAUUCCUAUUAUGUAAGGUAUGUAAUUGAUUUUGAUAAUUAUGUCUUUUUUCUGUUUUUGUUUUGUUUAGUAACCAAUUUAUUUAUGUUUUUUAUAUUUUUCACAGCUAAUUCUAAAAUAAGUUUACUACAUUAUAAUUCAGCAACUGCAAAGUGUAUUUUUGUGAACUUUUUGGCAUUUGUUUUUCCUUUGGCUGCAAAACAUGAAAACUAUAUAACACAGUUUUACUAUUUCUUUUUCUUUUGUUGGAAAGGAUGUAAGGGAACCCAAACAUGAGAAAACCUGGUGGAUGAAGUAAUGCAACCACAACUCCACCACCGCACCAAGUGGUGUUUUCCGCUAUUUUUAAGAUGACGGAACAAUAACCAUUUAGUGGAUGCUAGCUAACGACCAUCUGGUUAUUCACAAAGGCUUAUACAGGUACAAAGGAUGAAAAUCAGAUGGAUAUAAUUAUGAAUUGAGAAAUAACUAAUUUUAGAUUGACAGAGAAAAAAAAAAGGACACUCCUAAUAUAAUACGUACUCUAUUUUGGCCAUUUUGCACUGUUUUCGGCCCACUUGGAACCACAGCGGAGGAAAUGGUUUUCGUCACUACUGCUCUACUAGAUAGGGAUGCUUCGAUUGCACGGCAAUUUAUUUGAUUAAUAAAAUGAAACGAGAAAAGAAAGAGAGAAAGAAGACGUGGCACGUGUGUAUGUACCUGAGCUGGUCGGUAUGCACGAGCUUGCCAUACAUGGAGAUGGGCUUAUCCAGCGCAUCGUUCUCAUACAACCUCCCGGGCUCAUCGACCUUCCUUAAUAACCGGCGCUUCCUGACGGCGGCGACAACCACCUGCGCGAGGCGCGUGAAGGGGCUUCCGGCGGGGUCGAGCCUCCGGUACAGCGGGUAACCGGAGACGAAAGCCACGACGGAGAGCGCCAUGCAGAAGGCCGGCACGCCGAGUCCCCAUCCCCAUCCAACGUUGUCCUGCACGUACACCACGGCCGUGACGGCCACCAGCAUGGACGCCCCAUUGCAGAAGUAGUACCAGUUGAAGAAGCCCCAGCUCCGGGCACGCUCCGCGGCUUCCGACUCGUCGAACUGGUCCGCCCCGAACGCCACGAUGCAGGGGCGGUAACCCCCCGCGCCCACCGCGUUCAGGAGCAGGGAGACGUACAGCACGGCCAGCUGCCACGGCGCCGCCUCCUGGUUUGGCCCCGGCCGGAACUGCGGCAGCGCCGCGGAUACCGUCAGGAGGACCAUGCCCUGCAAACCGGCACGGUUAAGCUUCAGCUUAGCUCCGUUUCGAUUGAAAAAAGAGUGGAUAUUUGUGUGUGUGUGUGUGUGUGUGUGUGGGCGCGCGCGCGCGCGCGUACGAGUUGGUAGACGAGGGAGGCGCCGGCGAUGGUCCAGAAGCGGCCGAUGCAGGCGUCGGCGAGGUAGGCGCCGAUGAGAGGGGUCAUGGCGGAGGUGCCGCCGAAGUUGGUGAGGGUGGUGGCCGCCUUGGCCAGCGGCAUGUGCAUCUGCUGGGUCAGGUACGUCAGCAUGUUGGUCGAGAAACCCACCACCGCCUGCUUCUCCGCCACCUCGUUGGCUGAUUUCAUUCCAACAGUUAGUUAAGCUUAAGCUAGCGACCGAUUAAUUUGAUUCGAAACCAAUUUGCAACUUGCAAGAGAUUCAUUUUGGGGCUUACCAAAGAUGAAGGGCAUUGUUCUAAGGCCGCCUUUCUUCCUGCUCUUCUUCUUCUCUUCGAUGCCCAUGGCCGCCUCGGGCUCCAUUCGCGGUGCUUGUGGUGGUACUGCUGCACGUGUAGCAGGCCACCUCUCGCUACGCUAUCGGGAACUCGUGAUAGCAGCACUAGCUUGGCUGCACAUAUUUAUAACUAAGCUAGCUGCCUUUUUUUUUUCGAGAAACUAAGCUAGCUGCCACUGUAAACCAGCGCCGUGUCACUCGACUGUACUCUGUACUACAUGCGCGAGAUUAAUUUACAACGAAAAGGAAAAAAAAUGUAAAAUACGUUGAGGUUAGUUUCAUUAUUUGUGUAAUAUUUUGAAGGGUGUGGAUAUGUCUUAGGCGGCUGAUUUUAAAUAAAAAGGUUUAAAUUUCAGUUGAUGUAUUAGAGCCAUUGGAUUAAUAUUUGGAUGUCAUUUUGCUCUCUUUUUCCCACCAUUCAUGCCGAAUUUGAAAGCACAAACUAUAUUCAAUGGUUGAGAAAUUGACUUACCUCUAACUAAAAAUUAGCCAUCAUAUUCUGAAUACCAUCAUCGUAGUCUCAUUUAUUCCGGAGAAAGAAAAUUCUACGGGGCUGGUCUUGCAUCACACCAGUGAGCCUUUUUCUUAUAUUAGUCAACUGAUAGAUGAACGUCCCUGUUUAUUUUGAGGCAUCUUAUGGCAACUUGUAUAAUUUUCUCGGUUACACUCUCUACUUACUUUUCUUCCGCAGUCUUAUUUGUGUUUACGGUCUAUGUCGUAUUAUGUUGUCACAUUAGUGUUUCCGUAAUUACUUAACCUACAAUACUUUAUUUAUUUAUUUAUGUUUGUGAUGUGAUAUUAUGUUAGAUAUGUACGCAUACUUGCUGUUCUAGCAAAGUAUGAUUGGCAUAUCCAGUCCUAAACUAUUAAUUAGUUUAUAUUAUCCUAGGAUGAAUUGUGCCUAUCCCUUUAACUAGACAACGGAAAAAUUUAACUUAGGAUAACCCAUGGUAUAGUAAUAUGGUUCGGUCACAUAUUUAGCGUGUAAACCCAAUGCAUUUCUAUUAUAACAUGUAUAUGUUACUAAAUUAUGUAAUUUUACAUGUCCAAAAGGUAUUAUUACGACAAAUUGACUGAAAUUUAGGUUCUUAUUAAGGUACCUGAUCUCCACCCUGAAACCAUGCAAUAGGGAUUGGGACAGCAGGAAUAACGUUAUUAUUAAGGAUGGAAAUGGGAAGAACUCCCUGUGUGGAAAUAGGCCUAUUUUCAUCCCUACUCACGGGUGGGAUAUAUGUGAGACCGUAUCCCAUAGUUUUCUUUUCCUUCUAUUCCUGACCGCUUUUCAAAUUUUCGGAAGAGGAAUAAUGAGACCUUGUCAAAGAGGAUCUGGGAAUGAAGUGGCAACAAUAAAAAUAAGAACUAUGAUCCCAGGUUAAUACAUCAGUACAUCAUGUCUCUCUUGUUCCUCUAGAAAACCAUAUAUGGUUCCACCUCCGCCGUCACCCCUCCUUCGCCUGUAGAUCGUCGGCCUUCUCCUCUUCCACUGGCUCUGUUGGUGGGUGGUUGUUGUCGUCUAGAGGCUUCAAUAAGUGUAUUCAUUUGUCAAUGAUCGGUGGCGGUGAGAAGAUGUCAGCAUCAUCGGCAUGGAAUAAGGUCUCACCGCCUUGCCCUCAUUCUGGUAGUACUUAGUAUAGUCGGGAGGCAUGUGGAAGAUGGUCUGGUUCUCUCGGAGGCGGCACUCGGUGGAUGGCGAAAUUUUUUCAUCGAGAUAGUCUUCUGAGCUCUGGCUCCCCUCCAGUUCGUCUGUCGGGGGCAGAGCGCCGGCGUAGUUUUCUAUCGACCCACUAGGGGUGGUGAUGUUAGGGUUUUUUUACCUUGUGUGUGCGCCAGCGAGACAUGGUGUUAGGUUCUUUAGAUCAAUUCAAGGGUUCGACUGCGGCUCUGGGGCGCUGAUUCUUAUUAUGUUUGAGAUGUUUUGAGAUGUUUUGUACUUCUGAUGAACCUUUACAAUAGAUUUGUGUCAUUUUCGCAAAAUGAAAAGAAAUAUGAAUAUAUGACAGACACUUGAACCUUGUACACCGGAAAAUCUACCAAGUAGUCACACAAAAAAAAGAUCUACGGAGUAAAUCAUACAUACUUCUUCAUCACCGACACAUUAAAUGCAAUAAUCAUAGACACAUAAUCCCUUACCUUCCCUAAUUAAUACGUGGUAACAAGGUCAUCACAUACAAGAGAUCGGGAUAACAUCAAACCAUGACCCGCAGGAACGUAAUCAUAUUUUUCUCAACGAUGUCUUGCCCUCUACAUCGUGCAACGUCUGAUCCCUAUCAUAUAUAAUCUCUCACUCGGAGAAUAUUCUCGUCAACAGAUUAAGAAUCAACAUCCAUCAAUUAAUAUUUCGUUGAAUUAAGAACAAAGUCCAUUUUUGCCCCCUAAACAAACCGCUUGGCUCACUAUUUCCCUUAAACUUUUUGUGAGCUUACUUAGCCCCCUAAUCUAUUGCUUCUCGUCCGGUUUUGCCCCCUAACCUGGGAUUAGCCCUUGCGUGGCAAGGAUUGCGCUGAUAUGGCUGGGAUUAGUGACAAAACUGCACAAGGAAAUGAGAAGCGAUUCGUCUUGGCGUUCGUCGCCCUCAUCAAUUCGCCGAUUCGUCCUGGCGGUCGUUGCCCUCGUCGAUUUGCCACGUGAUGAAGUUGCAGUCUCUCUGGAGUUGCUGGUUACUUAGAUGGAGUUGAACAGGAGGGCAUGGAGUACUAGAGGCGUUUACUCAUAGGUGGUCUCUCACGCAUGGCCACAUGGCAAUGGUCUGCAUGAUGGAUUUAAUUUUCCUUGGAGUGUAGCAGUUGUAAUUGAUUGGCAGAUGUUUUUUUCCAUACAAAAAUCUGCGAGUUCUUAGUGUUUUUCCUUCGAUCGGAUCUGUAUCUUCAGAGAUAAUAUACCUUCACGAUUCUGUGCCCCAACGAUCAGAUUGUUUCCGCCUCGAUCAUCCGUCUCUGUCCGCCGUCGCGCGAGAGAGAUACGAGCAGAACAGUUCUGUUCUGAAAAAAGGGCGUGAUACAUGGCCCUCUCCACCUGGAUUCUGCGGUUAUGUCGCUAAUCCCGGCGAUAUAAGCGCAUUCCCGGCCACGUAAGGGCUAAUCCCAAAUUAGGAGGCAAAACCAGACGAGAAGCAAUAGAUUGGGGGUUAAGUAGCUUACAAAAAGUUUAAGGGAAAAAGUGAGCCAAAUGGUUUGUUUAGGGGGCAAAAAUGGACUUUGUUCUUGCCUUCCUAUAUAAUUUGCUCUUCAUCAGAGUCCACGACUAGUCCAACGAAUGUAACCCUUCAUGAAACCCCUGCCAAUAAAUUUCCAUCGGAUCUACUUGUUCUAAGGGGUCAGUAUGCACAUUGCAUAAAUUCCUCGGAUUUUCUCCGCAUAUUUGUCCUUGCUUGCUCUUAUAAAUCUAGGCACGCUAUAAAGAAAGGGACUGAUCGAGCUUGCAAUAGUUCGAGGCCGAUCCGCUCUCUGUUGGCUUUUCUCUAGACUUAAGGCCACAGCUAGCCACGUAAUGGUGCCAAACGCUAGAAAAUGGCUUCCACAUUGAGUAAUACUGAUCGGUCGGUGUUGUACGAGAAUCCAGUUGGAACGAGACAUCCGGCCAGCAUCUAGCGCCCUGCAAAUCUGCAAACCCAUGUCCCAAAUCCCAAUGGAGAUUAGACCCCUAGAGAUCUUGAUAGGUGAACGAGUUUGACCGGAUCGAGCCAUGCAUCAAGGAGGAGAUUGCACGUGUACGUUUUGAUUGAUCAGUGGAUUGCCUGCCUGCCCAUUGCAGGAGAGAUCGAUGAGAGUGCCGUUGUCGCUCAGAGACAUAAAAGAAAAGAAAAGAAAAGAGAUUGCCGUGGUUAAUUUGGUCGACAACAGCGGAUCAUGUGGUACGCAACAAAAGCCGGGAGGGGAUACGUUCCGGAAUUUUCAAUUAGACAUGCCCUGCUACACAUAAACGACAAUGCUAGCCCGUUGAUCAACCGUAUCACGGACCAUAUAGGCACAUACAACUACAAAAGACACUAUAGCAGUAUACAGUAGCACGACUGCAAAAGCAAAUCCUGUAGAUGUGCCCAACAAUCACGCAGCGCUGCAUCAUCCUGUAGACGUAUUAAACAAAAGUCGAAUCAGUGCACUGCUAUCUUUAAUCACGUACGCACGUCGUGCUCAGUGAAUUUAGCAUGACCGGUUAAAACGUCGAUGUCCAAAAGACCACGACAGGAGCAGAAAUCGAGCGAUUGCCAAAUCCUGAUCAGAUCCUUUCGGUGAUCCCAUUUUCCGCCUACGAGUCUACGCCUGCAUUAACCUCACUCGAUCCAUGAUUGAGCCGGCCGCCUACGAGUCUACGCCUGCAUUAACCUCACUCGAUCCAUGAUUGAGCCGUGCUUAGACCAACCAACCAUCCGGUCCAUGAGUCCAUCUCUAGUCUAGUGCUCUCGUGAACGACCAGCUUCUUCUUCCACUAUCGGGUAGCCGACCACACGGUAGGCUGGCAUCGGCGUCCUCCGAUCUACGUACCUACCUAGAGCUGGGACCAAUCAACAGUGUCCAGGAAAUGGUGGCCCUGCCUCCGUUUUGUUUUGUAUCCUUGCAGCUUUAUGUAUGUACUGUUACAAGCGUAAAAGUGCAAGAGACAAGAGCAAGAAAACCCGACAUGCAAAGCAGAGGCAGUGGCUGUAGAUCGAUUGUGCAUGCGUCCUUCUGUUGGGUCGACAAGAGGAGGAGGAGGAUGAGAGAACGUGCACGCAUAUGUUAUCCUCUUGCGCUGCUUGUUGCUGGCUCUCACAUCUUGAUCAGAGAAACAGACAGAGAUGGAGCACGCAUACUUCGUCACAUGCGUGUCUCGCCAUUGGGUUUCUGAUAAGGGAAGGCCCGUCCUUUUGCUUUUGGACAAUGGAAAAGGAAUUGCCCAAGGAAUUGAAGGGAGAGGCAGGAAUGUUCAGCUCCAAGAGGAGAUGUCAGGCGGAUGGUGACGACUGACAAGACAGCUCACAUGGCCAAGUGCCGGUCGACCGAGCUGUACAAACUUGUUGUUGUACGUGGUGAUGCAUGCGACUGAAGCUUAGAUGGUUCGUUGCCGUGAAUGGAGAACUGAGUGUGAUCGAUGGUGAGAAAGAAUCCUUUGUCUUUUCUGCACAAGAUUCAUCUUGCCGCCGUCUUUGUGUUUCCUUUUCAUACACAGAACGAACUUCUGCUAUGUGAACUGUAUUCAGAGUUUCCUGUAUUGUUGUUGGAUUGGUUCAGGGCCCUUGCCGGCAUCAAUCAUGAUCCUGGCUAGUGAGCUUGUAUAUGUACUCUACAAUGUUUGACACAUUAUGGUGAUCAUGAAACUUCAGUUGUCCUAACUUGUCUUCAUAAAGAGGAACAUGUUUGUCCCUGUGAUAUUACUAGUUGUUAAGACUAUUCAAAUGGAGUAAAAUGUAUAAUACCAACUUCGUUGGCAGACUCAUGUGUGUUUGAUUGAAAGAACCACAGGGUUUGUGGGGUGAAACAUCUAACAGGACACUUUGUCAAGUGCACUAGCAAGUAAGUCCAACUUCUUUAAGAAGAAAGAAGCAAGUCCAACAAUGCCAAACCGACGAAUGAUUGAGCUGAGAGAUCAGGGAGAAGAAAGACCCACUUGCUAGUGUCACAACCAAUUUGGUCCCGUGCUUUCUGAAUCACAUGUGACUUUGCUCAAACUCAACAACGAUUACAAGUACAGUAUUUCAAAUCAUAGAUCCAAAAAAUACCAAGCAAUACCUAUAACUAGUAAUUACAAGUCGUCUCCAUCCAUGCAACAUGAAAAAUUGCCGAGCAUUUAACAAGGAGACUGUAAUUAGAAUGUAACGACAUCGCUGCUACUUGUAGCAUUGCACUAACUUAAUUAUCUUCAAAGGUUUUAAAAAUCCCUUUCAGUCGCCCAUCCUAAAAGAUGAAAAGACUCCAAAUUAAAGAAUUAUUACACCAAUAAAAACACUAUGACACACUAACAAAAACUCAUCAAAUCCGUAUGAAAAGAUCUACGAGGUCACAAAUUCAAAAUCCUCAAGAUUGAGUACAUUGAACCUAUUGUAAGUAGAACUCUCUAGCUCUAUGGCAUCACCCGAUAACAGAGGAAGUACUAGAAUGCACUUAUUCUCGACGGCAUCGCAACUUUCACCAUAGUGUCAUCAAUAAUGACCACACAAUUCAUAUUGUUAAACCUGAGCUGCCCCCCCCCCCCCCCACCCCACUUUGCAACGCCAAGAUGACAAGAGGUGAGGGGAACUAACACAUCCUUAACGAUGGCACUACGCAGUUGAUCUCAAACCCAAACCCUAUUUUCAUUUUUCCAUGCCGGAUAACAGGAAUGUGACGGUAAGUGAAAAAUUGAGGUUCUUUGGAAGUAUGAGCCCCAAAAUUGUGGCUGUUUGAAUGUGAUUAUGUGUUGCACACAAGCACAACACUGAAGUUGCAGUUUUCUAAAGUACUCCCUCCAGUUCUAAAUUCUUGUCAUAACCACCACAACAAGAAUGAGUUGGGUCCAUAUAACCCCUCAACUAUCACAAACCAGCUACUUCACCCCCUCAACUACAAAACCGGGCACUUAACCCCCUCAACUAUCAAAAACCGGUCAAACCACCCCCUCAGGCCAAAUCGAGCUGGUUUCACAGGCGGUUUUGCCAACGUGGAAAUGCCACGCUGUCUCACCCCUCAACUUUGGACUGGAGCGGCAGGAACCCCCCUCAACUUUGGGCCGGCUGCUUCUUUUUCCCUCCCCUUUCAUUACCCUCUCCCUCACAAGUUAAGGUUCAUCUCAAAAGGCGAAAUUGGGAGGCGGCAGCAGUAGCGAAAGCUCGAGCUCGUCAAGAGGCUCGACGGCAGUGAGGGCCGCUUGUUCAAAUCUAGAAAACGAAGAGCAUAUACAUCAGAGUUAGGUUUGGGCACUGACCUUCUCCUUUUGAUGCCAUGGGAUCGUCGAUUCAUGCCAGCGAUCAUCCAUCGCCACCAAGUCGUCGUCUUACGAAAGAAGCCCCGAGGGGGGGGGGGGGUAGAGCAAAGAAGACGAAGCGGCAAGGGGCUUAAUCGCAAAUAACCCCCUCCCCUAAGCCCCGAUUCCAGCUUCAUUUGGCCCGAGGCGGUGAUUUGCCCGGUUUUUGAUAGUUGAGAGGAUUAAGUGCCCGGUUUUGUAGUUGAGGAGGUGAAAUAGCCGGUUUGUGAUAAUUGAGGGGGUUAUAUGGACUUAACUCCAACAAGAAUAUAUGAUCACCACGACAAGAUUUUAGGAUCAGAGUGAGUACUUGUUUAAAUCAUAAGCAAAAGCAUGAGAAACAUAUUUGAGUAGCAUAUAUAAAGGGAAACACGAAUAUACUCACUGAUACACUGGAUUUAGGCCCAAGGGUGCAUUUGGUUGGAACUUAGAAAUCACAUCUACCCAUUCAUAUAAGGGCUCAAUGCUAGUGACAUCUCCCUCCUUCCAACAAAAGAUGUCUCAAGUUUGUCGAAAUUUGGAUGCAUCUAAACAUGACUUAGUAUAUAGAUAUUCAAAUUUAGUUGAAGUUGAGACAUCUUUUGUUGGAUGGGAUGAGUAUAAAGCUUUGGUAAGAAAAACCGCAGAGAAUUCUCUAAACGUUCAGCAAUGAGUCACCAUGAAUUGAAAUAUAGGCACAUCUGAUCAUAUCAAAGGCCUACAGGUUCAAGGAAAGAGAGAAAUAUCUUCCUGCGCAACAGAUUACCAGUUUAAGAGAUAAGAGUUGACAAAACGGAUGGAGCACAUUUCCCUUUUGACAAUAUUAAUAUGUACUUAGAAAUUAAAACAGUCAGAAGCAUUGCAGAAACGGCAAGUAUCGGCGGUACUACUGAGCAGGAAGAAAUAAGAUUGACAAUGAACUGCACGGCCUCUGCCUCGCUUUUUCUUUGGUAACACCAAUCUAACAUCUAUUGUUGAUCCUCAUACUCAUGGCCAUGAUCCAAAAGGUAGUUGGCAGCCAGCUCUUCAUCCCUGUUGCAAGCAAAGAAGACCUCCAACACAAGCUCACGGUUGAAUCCCAUGGCCUCAAGCUGCCAGACAAACAAAUAUAAUUAGACAACAAAAUUACCACUCAUGCUUACAAUCAAAUAAUUGUAUAGUUAAUAAAUAUCUGAGUCAAAUGUGUCAGACAAACAUCCAGCAAAAGGGAAGAACAAGCAGGAUAUUGCAACACCAUGUAAUUUGUCAUCAGACACGUUGAGGCACACAAGCAUAGAACUGAGCACAAGUCUUGCAUGAUGGAAUGAAAGUAAAGAGAUGUAUCUAUACAGCACGUGACAUAAUUUAUAGAACAAAUUAAAAUAUUUGUGUAAAUUCCGUCCGAGUACACAAACUUUUUAGCAUCCAUCCAGUGUCGAAAAUCACAUGCAAGAUCAAACCUAUGCUAUACAGGAUAACCCAACACACUCCUUAGCACUAGUGGUCUAGCUAGAAAUAUAAUAGUUCUGUAUAUUUCAAAAGUUUCUAAAAAAGCUCAGAGGCAAUUAUUGUGCACUACGUGGCAAUACAAUGCCCCGAUGCAAAUUUACGUGAACAUACGUUUCUGUAAUCUAUAGAAAAAGGAGUAAAAAUUUCCUUUAAUCCAGCAUCCUUUGUUCUUUUUGCGCAGAUCACAGUUCACAAAUGCAAAUACGUUUUCACAAAAUUUGUAAGUUUAGUGUAUUGCCACAUGUAUAUGGGGAUUGAUGUGGAUUUUUUUUUAAUGUGAACCACACUUGAAGAAAAUAUAUAAAAUAAAAUGUGAAGUGGUGCUCAGGACUAAAAAACCAACUGUCUAUACAGCAUAAUUAUGACUAAAUUGCAACAUAUAAAAUGACGGACACAGCUGUAGUGACACCUCAUUAAAUUUAUAUUCUCAGAAAGUUGUUAUUUCUACAGUUUAUGUCCCCAGGGCUUUCACUAAAAGCACUGAAAAUAGCAAAAGCUUAGGUAAACAGAGUACUAACAAGAACAGUGUGUGUAUUCUUCACUUACAUACCUAACUCAAAUUGAAGUUUUGAUGUAACAGAGCAAUUGAUACAUACUAUCCCUUAAUAAUGGGUAGUUUAAACAAUCAAUAGCGAAAAUAGUUGCAAAACACAAACACUCAUGUAGAGAAAUUAAAAAGGUUUUAGAAAUUAGUACUCCCUCCAUCCCAUAUUACUUGUCUCAAAUUUGCUCAUGUAAUAUUUCUGUAAUAUUUAAAAAGCGUCUAGAUACAUGUAAUAUUUUGACAAGUAACAUGGGUCGGAGGGUGUAAAACAAAUAAUCAAAUGUACCCGCUGGAUGGACUCCCGUUCUUCAGGGGUAACGGUCACAGCCGCCUGUGGCAUUGCAGCUGCUAGUUGGCCUAGUAUAUUUCUGUUUGAACAAAGAGCGGAGAAUAUAGUGUAAAUAUUGUUUGCACAGAUGCAUAACAAGCGCACAUAGUUGAGUAAUGUUUCUUAAUUCUUACCCGGCAGCACCACUCUCAGGUGUUUCAUUCACCAAGCGGAGGAACUCAGCCUGAUUUUCCUGAAUCAACCGCAGGAUCUGCGGAUUUUGUUUCCCUAGCUCUUGAAGCAUUGGCUGUGAACACACAGUAUCAGUAUCAUACCAUUAUGCGCUUAUUACACCACAGCAACUAAUUUUUUUUCAAGUACCAAAAACUUCACUAAAUUAAUAGGCUUCUUAUACGUAUACCUGUAAGAUUUGAGGAUUAGCCUGGACCAAUGCAAGCAGUGCCUGGAACUGAAAGGAACAAGCACACAAGUGUGAGGAAUUGUAACACGUUUAGCGGCCAACCUGAAUAUAAAGAUUAAACUGCUAGUACCUGCGGAAGCGCUCGCAGUGCAUCAAGGGCACCGGCGCCCGCACCCACACCAGCACCAGGAUUGGACCCACCAGUUGGAACACCCUAUUAAGUUAUUUCAAAUGAAAACAAGUAAAACACUCACCCAGAAAAUUUUGUUUUCAGAAUAUACAUGUACAAUAGGCAGCAACUGUAAUUGCAGCAUAUAAGAAAGCUGCAGAAUGCAUCAGGGGGAUAGAGGUGCAGCGCUGCUUGUAUUUGUAUUUUCCACACCAAGACUGAAGACAUAUCUAAUCCAAAUUGACCAAGAUGAUGCCAUGAAAUUCUCCUCCAGUACAUCAGUACUGAUCUUUAGAUUAAUCAUGCUUCUGAUGAUGCAUAUGGUAUUUAACUAAGUGUAAAAAAAAAUAGUGGUAUGUCCACAACUCCGAUUGCUUUGUAAUAUUGUAACUAUCUGAUUCCAUGUAAAAUUAUCCUGGAAAUAUAAAGGUCCGAAGGUACAUGUAAAGCACAUACCUGAGGGAAAAGGUUAAGAGGAUUUGCAUUAGGCCCUGCGGAGGCGACACCCGAUGGCUGCACUGGUGGCACGGGUGCAGCCUGAGAGAGAGCUUGCGGGUUUGUUGCCUGUUGAACUGGAGCAGGUGCUCGAGCCACAGGUGGAGCCUCUACAUUCUCAGGUAUUCCCUAGCAUAAAAACGAAUGAAACUUAGUUGGUUAUUCUUUUAUGCCAACUCUUUAUAAUUUUAUGCAUAACAUGAACUUACAGAAUAUAGAUAGUCAAUAGCUCUCUCAGGGUUGUUAUAUGCAGCACGUAAAGCACGGACAACCAUAUCACGUUCCCAGGUGCCACCACCCAUGUCAAGAAUAUGUUGGACUGUCUGUUCUAGGCUGCCGCCUGAGACAAGGUUUGAUGCAGCCUGACUGUAAACAUCAGCGUCACCUCUAUACAGCACAAACACAUUAAAGCAGCAUUACUUAUGGUGAAAAUGCAGCACAAGCACAUUAGAGCAAUAUUAAUUAUAGUAAAAACAAGUGAUGCAAAAGCAAAGAGAAUGUGGAAGCUUCUUAUUGGCUCAACUGUCAAAGAAAAAAAUUCAGUAACCACAUAUACAUCUACAACCAGUUUGAAGCUUCUUAUUGGCUCAACUGUCAAAGAAAAUAUAACACAAUACUGCAUGUCCUGUGGUAGCAUGGAGUACAAAUGACAAUGUAUGCAUGGAGUAAAUGUAAUGUCAUAAUUUCAUGUAAAAUGUUAAUCUAAUGAAAAAUGACAAUGUAUGCAUGGAGUACAAUAUUUUAUAAUGUCAACUGAUGCAUUUCAUAAUUGCAUUAAUAUAUUUGUGUGGAACUUCUACAGUAAUGUAUAAUGUCAUAAUUUCCCAAGUUUCAUUAAUAUACUUAUGUGAAACUUCUACUGUAAAUGUAAUGUCAUACACAAUAUUUUCUAUGAUUCAAGCAGUACAACUCAAAGAAUAUUAAAUUAAUAAUUUAUAUUUCUACAGAUGUCAAAAUAAAAUACUCUGGUAUGGCCAGUUUAUUCUCCAUGUAUGUACCAGUAAAACAACUACUAUCAAAUUAUAAAUUCCUUCUCUUCUCAUGAAUCCCAAAAAGUUCAGAACUCCACUUCAAAAAGAAGAAAAGGUAGGUUUCACAACAGGAAUCAACGAUGGCAUAACCGUACAUGCCGUCUAACAGGAAAACAAAGGAGAAACAUGUGGCCUCACCAAUGCAAAAAAAUAGAUAAGCAUUUAAAGUUAGAAGGUAAUCUGUAACUAGAAAUCACAAGGACAAAGCACUAGAAAAUACAAUUAACAAAUCUGCUACACACAUUAUGAACUAAACAGAAAAAUGAUAGCUUCUAACGGAAUGAGAUGAAAGAUGCAAAAGGGGCUCACGAUGCAGUUACUGCAGCAGCUGGAAUAUCAGAACCAGCUGGAGGCUGUGCACUGGGUGGGGCCCUAUGAACGAGAAGGUUAAUAACCAAGAGAGAUGACAUAUUUCAAAUUUUCAAUACAAGAUUUGGAGGAAUAGAUAACUCACAGUUCAGAUGCAGAAACAGGUGCUGUUGAAGGUGGUGUUCUUGCAACUGGGGUAGCAGGGCCAGACGGAGUAGCAGCAGCCACUGGAGUAGCAGGUUGAGCCUAUUGCGAAGUGAUAAAUAAUUUUUUCCAGUAAGACACUAAUAAACAAGGAUAUCCAAAAUCACAAAGAAGUAAAUUUAACACAGUGUAAUUAUAUGAUACAAAAUGAAAAUUUUCUACAAUUUUGUCCAUGAACAAGCUAAAGGGAACACCAACACUGAAGUCAAGAAGGUUAUGACUUUUUUUAUCACAGAGCUCCAACAUUCUUACUAUUAUUUAUGAAAUACAACUUUUCAGGUUCAGUAAACCAAGUACGAACGUUCUUUAAUUUAAGACCUCCACAACCAAUUCUAAAGAAACAGGGACACCACAUGGCAGAGCACUGUUGAUGCAAUUGCUUUCCUGUAUUCAUUUGUUGGUUCAAGAUGCAAGGUAAGAAUGGUGAUGCAGAAUAAACACAAAAUUGACAAACAAGGCUGGAAACUGCACAAGAAAUGACUAGAUAUUAAUAGAAAUGUGAAGGGGCAGAUGACUGCAAAGAACAUAAUGCAGUAUAGUUGCUACCAAAUACUGCAACACGAAGAAAAAGAAAUUAACAAGCUUGAGUUUAAAUAUCUAAUUAUAUCUACAAAUUUUACCUGGAUAGUAGGGGCCUUUGAAGCAGUAGAAGGACCACUCGGUGAUGCCUUAGCCUACAAAUUUUAUGCAUAUCAUAUCACUACUAAUAUCAGAUAAUUGUGGCACUAAUUUUUACCUAAGUUGACAAGCCUUUAAACACAGUAGAAGUGUGCUAUCAAUAUUAUUGAGAACACCUAAAUGUGGAAUCCAAAACAACUAAAACACAGAACAUCAAUGUUUAUACUGCUUCCUUUAAGCAGCAGGCUAAUAAAAAUGCAAAGAGGCAUAGCCCGCUUUUGAUUAACAUAUAAUAGGAAAUUGUAAUGUAGCGGAUAUAACAUGCAAGGUGGAAAAAAUACGCUGUCCAAGUGGGUGGAGAAUAUCUUAUCUAAUCUCACAUAUCAAUGAUUUGAAAGCUCAUUGGUUACGAACACAGGAAAUGAACAAAGCAACAGGUAAGAUAAUAUUGUAACACAGGAAAUGAACAAAUUAGGCUUAUUAGUUAUGUCUAGCUCUGCUAAUCCUUCCUAUUUAGUUUCUCCUUCCUUUGAACACGAACAGCGCAUAUCCCAAAAAUUGAUGGACGUAAACGGCCGUAGGUUCUGAUGGAUCUAUGUCCAACAAAAGGUUCCUACGCUCAUGCUCUAUGCAUUAUAAUAAGUGGUAUUCCACUAUGGAGAAUCACCUUAGACAGCAUUAUAACAAGGAAGCUGUUCUCAGCAACGUUGUUGCCUUCCAAAGUGGUAUCAUCCUUGAGAAUUUUGCCUUGAUGUAUGAGCAUCUGCUGAUCCGCAGGGUACACAUUCUGCCCCUGAGCACCUUCAAUGAUUCUCUUGACCUCAGCCACCUGCAAAACAGAGCCAAUGAUAAGCACAGUACCACUAGUUCCAAAGCAAACCAUCAUAUAUUGCAGCAUCAAUCACAUUGACUAACCAGACUUCCAGAGAUAGCUGGACAUAUGUCAAUUACAACGCGACAGUACCUAACAUGCCAAAUUCAGAGCACCAAAACGAUGUAAAAUUACAGACAUAGGCGCCCGAACACUCUAGACUCCCCUCUGUGACCGAUCCGCACCACGCGUUCACCACAGGUACAGCAGAGCUGAACAUCUACUAAACCCUAGAUUUAGAUUUUCUAAAAACGCGUCAUCGACACAAGGGAACCUAAUCCCUGUACCAAGCCGGGAACGAAUCGCAACACGGGGGCCCCAAAUCGAGCAAAUUGCUCGAGAAUUGCGCCGAAUCGCACGGAUUGAAGACGGAAGGGGGGAAGAUGGGAUAGGGAUCGUACCGACGCCUCGGGGCUAGCCUCGAUCUCGAAGUUCGUGCCCUUGAGGGUCUUCACGAACAGCUUCAUCGUGACUUCUCCUCCACCCUCUUGCUCAAACUUCUCUCUCUACAACAAACUCGCGCUAUCCCUAUCUGAGUCUUGCUUCGCCUUGAGGGUUUUCACCUUGACUUCGCCUCCAGUGGGGAGGACGACGCGGCCGCACGAGGGGAGUAAGUUAUAGGCGAGAAAAAAAAUCUGGAGCCGGAGCGAAAUGAUAUCUGAUAGAGAUACUGGUUUCUAGCCACGUUCGCUGACGCGUGGGGCCGUAAACGGAUUGGACCAGUUGCCAGUGGGAGGGACAGGUGUCCGAUCACGAGACUGGACAGUUCGGCUGCUCCGUUGCGAUGUGUGGCUCGAUCUGUGUCCCAGGACUUGCGUGUAUUUGGGGCAAUUUCGUUGGGACUAUUUUUUUCGUGUGACUACUGGAGAGCCCAGCUUUGUGACUACCCAAAGGUGUGUUCGGAUGUCCUCUGCUUUUCAAAAUCCGUAGAUCCAACUUUUCGAUAGCGAUUCCAGCGUCUGACUCGGAGCUAAACAUGUUUGGUGCUACUCCUCGUUUGCUACUGGGCUGGAAGCCCAUUAAUCAACUUGGCCCAGCCAGUCUUGGAUGGAAUCGAUGGGAUCUUGCUCGCUGUGCCAGAGAACGGAACAACGGGGAAUGGGGCGACGGCGGUCAUUGCUGUAUCAAGAGACUGUGCUGGAGAAUGGGGCAGAGGGCGGAGAUUCGGACGGAGCAGGUGCCUGCACAGGGGAACAAGAGAGGAGGAAGAGAAGGCCGCAGAAUUGGCAAGGGUGGGGAUGGGGGUGGCUACCGGAGAACGGGGAAGGAGAAGUCCGUCGGAGAAGGAGGGAGGAGGAGGCCGCGCCGGAGAACGGGGACGAGGAGGGCGGCCACGGGGAAAGCCGUGCAAAGACUGUAUCGGGAAACGAGGUCAGGGAAGAGAAAUAGAUCUGAACCGUUUUUUCAUUAAAACGGUGGCAACAUUGCUGUAAUUUCGCACUGCUCCGUGUUUUCAUGUUUCGGGAAUCUUCAAAAGAGGUGCUCCAGUUUUGUACACAAAAUUGGUGUUCCGCGUUGGAGUUUGGGGAAGCUGUAAGCUUCCGAACACACCCUAAGCCGGCUUGCUCAGGCCCAACAUCGAAUGCAAGGUAACUCAAGUGACCGUCAGGAACCGUGGGCUGCGUUACUAACCGAGCCUAGGACCUUGUAAGCGUGCGUGUCUGAGAGCAACUCCAGCCGCCACUCCUAAAGGCCCCCUAAAUGGUUUUGGGGGCCGCCGGCCCGUAAAAUCCGACCCAGCCGGCCUCCCCAAAAUAUUUUUUUAGCCGGCGCGUCCCAGAAAGUUAGCCGGCGCCCCAAGGCCACACCCAGCCCACGGGGAGGCGAGCGGGGGCGCCGGCGCCUCGCGUUAUUGCGGCGGGCCUGUCUUGUCAGCGGCUAUUGAUCGCUCUCACCGGUAUCCCACCGGCUUCCCCGAGGCGAUUAAUGUCGGUCGGCCCGCCGGUUGCCACCCGGCCGCCCCCGCGCAUUGCCGACGCCCAUUAUCACCGCGUUCACACCUCGCCGGUUCACGUUCCGCCGCUAUAAAAGCGCCCCCCCCCCCCCCCCCGCGGUGCUCGCCAUUCCCCUCACUGGCCCCUCCUCCCUCGCCCUCUCCUCUCACUCGUCCACUAGAUGGCCGGCAACAACUGGGACGAGCGGCGGUGGCUUCGCCUCGACGAGGCCAAGGCAAUUCGGCGGGCCGGCACCCUAUUGCCGCCGGUCUGCCGCCUCCUCCACGGCUGGCAUCUCAGCUGGGGCGGUAGGCCCGUCGCACCGGCGGGAGCGCAUCUGGGCGCGCUUCGUCCACGCCCUGACACCGGAGCAGCAGGCUUCGACAGAGUGGGACCGGAGUUUGCUCGGGAGGUCGGCUCCGAUCUUCACCGUGCGCGUGGCGUCAUCUUGGGAGACGCAUACUUCCUUGAGAUCUCCUUCGGGUAGGGGCUUAGGGAUGUAGCGCUCCGGGUGGACAGUUUCGGGUGCUCCCACGUUCGAAAGCAUGUUGAUACUCUUAGAUGAUUCUUCCUUCUCGGUGCACUUGGUCCCAUGGCGGUAGAGCGUCUUCCUAUCGGAAGAUUGCUCGCCACGGAACUUCAUGCACAAGAAGUUGUGGUGGAUGGCGGUGCAGAGACGGUUUAACGUCGUCCUUCCGAGGAUGGCGUUAAAGGAGGCCUCCAUAUCCACCACGUCGAAGCGCACGAGCUCGGUUCGAUGAUUCGUGGCGUCUCCGAAGGUCGUGAUGAGCUCAAUUUGUCCAAGCGGCUGAAUGGACUUCCCUGGCACGAAGCCGGUGACAAGAUAAAGGGAUGGCUACACCGAGCCGUUCUUGUAUCCCCCUUGCGGUUCCAUCAGCUUCUUCAAUUUGCUUAGAUAUAGGAUGUCGGCGGACCUUCCGCCAUCCACAAGAGUCUUCUUGAGCUCACAAUUGGCGACGAUCGCCAUCACGAAGAGGGCGUCGUCGUGUGGGAAGCGUAUCCCCUAGGCGUCUUCCUCCGUGAAGGCAAUUGGCACGCUCGCCCACUUUAGUGGCGGUGUCGGGGUGAAGGUUCCCAUGACGUUGACUUCGCGAGCAUACUCCUUGCGUUGCUGCUUCGAUCCCCGGCCCGUGGCGGAGCCCCCGAGUAUCAAUUCGACGUGACGCGUGGGUUCCUGAAACGGGAGGUUAUCCUCCUUAGGUGCUGGAUCAGCGACAAGGACGUUGGCGGGGCGUGGAGCCUCGGCUGUCUUCUCAUCCUUGCGCCGGGCUUGCAUUCGUGCUUGGAACUCUUCGCGAGCCGCGAUGAGAGUGUUGCAUUCUUUGGUGUUGUGGCUUGCCGAGUUGUGGAUGAGGCAUCUUCCAGUUCCUCCCUCGGCGGGGCGAGGUGGCUUCUUGGGUUGCCAAGUCUUUUUGGGACGAUGCUUGUGCUUCGACAGCGAAGAUCUUCCGGGCUUGGUCGCCGGGAGCCUUUUUCCCCCACCUCCUCUUCUUCUUGGAGCUCCUUCGGGAGAGUUCCUUCGGGAGCGGCACGCGGUGCGUCCUUUUUGGCAAUGUCCCCGUCUUCGUCCCGAGCGUAUUCCUGCAAGAUUCGAUAGAGCUCCUCGGUCGUCUUCGGAGGAUUGCGACUUAUGGCCCGAUUCACUUCUCCUUGGAGAAGGCCUUGCAUGCAUGCGUCAAUCAUGAUGGUCGACGGUGGGUUGGAGAUUUGGCUUCGUACCUUCGCAAAGCGAUGGAAGAAGCUUCGGAGGGAUUCCCCCGGCUUUUGUUUCACGGCGUAUAGCUCGUGAGCCUGCACGGGUUCUUUGAAGUUUCCCUAAAAGUUGGCGAUUAAGACCUCUUAGAGGCGCUCCCACGAGUGCACGGAGUUCUUUCGCAGGUUAUAAAACCAAGUUUGCGACAUCCCGGUGAGCGCGAGCGGAAAGAGGUUGCAGAUCUCAACGGGACCUCCCCCGGCAGCCCGUUUGGUGGUGGAGUAGACAUCCAAGAACUAAAGAGGAUUUGACUCCCCAUCGUACGGUCGUAUCGUAGGCGGCUUGAACCUUGGCGGAAAAGGCGCGUCUUGAAUCUCCCGUGUGAGCGGGUUACAAGUCGGCCGGUUCUUCCGGUUCCUUCUGCGGCGAGGUCCUCCCUCGUCGGAGUCGCUUUUGUCGCUAGAAGGGUCACCUGGAGAAUGAUCUCGGCGUUUUCUUGAGGGGUCGCAACGUCGAUGGGAAUUUCUUUCGCCGCCGGGACGGGCUCCGGACUCCGCUACUUGCUCAUUUCCAUGCACGCUGGGGUCUCAUUCUCCGCGAGGCAUAGCUUGAGGUGGUACUUGGUUCCCACCUUGCUCGACCCCGGCGGGGGAGCAAGGGGCGCUUGCGGGGCGUUCACCAAGUGAGGUUGGUGUCGAGCAUGCGCAUCUUGGAGAGCGCCAUUUGGCGGAAGCCCCCAAUAAGGAUGAUACCAACGAGCUCCAUGGGCGAUGACGGCGAGUGCCAACGGAGGCAGUCCUGAGUUGGAGGGGUCGUAAGCCGGGACUCCUUGGUUUUCUGGCGCGGAUUCUCCUGAAGUGUUUCUCUUGUAGGUUCUGAGGGCAGGGUCACUACCGGUUGUAGGGAAGGUGGCGCAAAACCCAUCGAGCGAGGCAUGUCGAGUUCCGUAUCCCCUGCGGGGGCGGCAACUGUAGGCAGCUCACCGAUCCUUGCCACUACGUCGGUGAGUGUCGAGGGACCGCCUACGAUGGUUUCGAGCACCUCGGUUUCUUCAGGGACGGCCGGGAGCGGAGGUGCGACCACGACUUCCGUCGUGGCAACCAUGCUUGCGGCGACGUCCGGAUUGGUGAGCACUCCUUCUUCCUCGGGAGCCCACGAGGCGUUUGCUUUCUUUGUUUGCAACCGUGUAGACAUCGCGGCAAGUUGGGCACCCGAUGAAGUAGGCUUCGUCGGGGCCAUUAAAUCUUCAAUUGCAACGAGGGUUCCCCACGGUCGGCGCCACUGUUGUUGUUCUCAACAACAAUUAGAGUAAAGGGUGCCAAUGCUCGAUGGCACAAGCGCGAGUAUAAAAUAGGGCGUGUACGCCGGCCUUAUAGCGAAGAUCGCCGUACACUUGGACAAGUUGACAUGUCGAUACUUUUUGAGUAGGUUCGGUCGACCCUGCGGGUGUGACCUAGUCCUAUGUUAGGAGAGGCUUCGAGGAAAUCGUUAGCCAAAGUGUUUCGGGACGAUCGAGGCUCCCCGAAUCACUUAGCGAGAGGUCGAAAGGGGCCACCUCGUACUUGGGCCGAGCGAGGCUUUCCAAGUAGCGAGGUCGAGAUACCAUUAGGACUCUAACCCGAUUCCCUCUCCUUCGGGCUCGGGCCGAACGAGACUUCCCGAAAUCCCGAAACUAGAGCUCCUCUCAAAGAGGCUCUCUAGACCUCUCCCCUUGAGUUUAUUUAAGUUGAGAGUGAAUGGUGCAUGCCCCAUGGGGGGUAUUUAGGGGCUGUUUGGUUUAAGCCCCAACAAACCCCACCAAAAUUUUGGCAUGACCAAAAGAGGGGCAUGACCAAAUUUUUGGUAAAUAGAUGUUGUUUGGAUUACAACCAAUGUAAAUGGCCAAGUUUUUGGCAAUGCAUGAUGCUACAAUUAUUCAUUGCAAGACUAGCAUGAUCUACUUCUCAAUAGUCAAUUCAAAAUCUAGGAGUAAUCAUGGAUUAGAGAAGGUGAUUAAGAUAGAGUUGGAAAAAGUUUCUCGCAAGAAAAAGGGGAAGUGUUGUUGAACUUUUCAUUUAAUGCAGCCGUCACUUGAUAACUAGAGAACAUAGAGAUAGGUAAGAUCUUAUUAGAUGCGUACAGGCCCGAACAGAAGAUACGCAAGGCUGUACUGUUGUUCGUUUCACAGGAGGAGGUAAUUAGCCAUCGACCGAGUAAAUAGGCUGGGACCCACCGUGGAUUAAAUGGCGAUGGCACGUUGCCAAUUCUCUAGCGAAGUUUUUCGCCACCCUCAACUCACCAACGAUUUCCAUGGGAUAGGGCGGGCGCGCCCGCGGCAGGCUGGGCGAGCCAAAUAUUCGGCCUUCGUCCAAACGGUGGCCAAAUAUCACGGGCGGACCAAUAUUUUGGUAGGGUCGGUUUUGGUUGUAAACCAAACAGCCCCUUAUAUCCUAGGGGUCCAUGACAAAAGACCAUGGCUACCCUUAAUGGAGAGAGAAAAGUGGGGGCAAAAUGGUAAAAGUAGCUUCUUGGUAUAUAAGUUUUGUGUGCACCAAGUGGGAAAAGUGGGGGUUGGUCCAUGGUCCACCAUGGACUAAAGGCCCCAUCCUAACAUCUUUCUUGUCCACUACUUAAGCUUAUUUCUCUCUUUGACCAAGACAUGAGAGGCUUAAGUUGUUGACUAGUCUUAAUUAUUGUCACGUAAGAUUGACCGUGCCACGUAGACAUCUUGACUCUUGUAGAGAAAUGUUGACUUGGUCGUUGCCACGUAGAAAUCACGACCCAGCCCUAUAAAGGUUUUAUUUUAAAACAACAUACAUGAAUCAUGUUCUUACAAUCCUGAGCGAGAAGCUCGUCAAUGAUCGGAGGAGACUCCAGCUGCAACGCCGCAACGUUUACACCUCCUUUAGCAAAAGACACUAAAGCAUGAGCUACUUCUAUAAUCUCUUAUUCACUAAACUCAACUGAAAACUCAUUUGAGAAGAAUAGCACGAGAUGAACGGAGAUGUUCAUGUGCCGCCAUGUCCCAACGACGAUCAUCAUCAAGUCGCGGAAAUUCGCUCAGUAUGAUUCUUCGUAAAAGCUUUAGUAUUAUUCAUUUUCGACCUUCGUGAUCACAGGAAAUUCCUUGGAUCCUCAACAAGAUAGUAACAUCGGUGAUCGGGAUAUUUGAAAAGAAAAGCAACUAAAUUAAGCAGUUUCGACGAGUUGUUUUGUGUUGUCAUUUCAUGACACGAGCCCACACAGCCUGCAGCAGUCAUGUGCGUGUGCAUGCAAACCGACGGCAUUGCACGAUCGGCAGAGCUACGCGACGCAGGCCGUGGCGACGGCAACGCCGUUGGCCCGCUUGACGAAGCGGCCCUUCAUCCGUGGCCGCUUCUCGGCGUUGAGCUUGCGCACCUCGUACCGAAUCUUCUUGGAGAAGAGCCGCGUCCGCCGCUUCUCUCGGUACCGCGACACCCGCGCGUCCCUGCCGCCGUCCAUCUUCGUCCUCGGCGUUCGCAGCUCCUCCGUGCCAUGGCCAACGAGCACUCCUCCCAUCAUCCAAACGCUCAUCUGCACAUCGAAAUUACCUCAUCAAGGUUAGCAUCUUAGCAUAUACAGGGACGCACAGGACCGAUGUGCAAGAAGAGUUCAGACGCCGAAGCCGGCGCGUAACGUAAAGUAUGGUACGUACCGAGUAGUCGUGUGGCCAGCAGCCGUCGAGCUUGACGUCCGGCCUCUUGCCGUCGGCCCACGGCGACUUCUCCCACUUGUCGAUGAUGGCCUCGUAGUUUAGAUUGAGCGAGAGGCUCCUCGGAAGGAAUCGUGCGGCACUCCCGCUGGCCGCAUUCUCGUCCGGCGUGGCCUGAGGUGAGCCGUAGUCGUCGUCGAAGUCGAUGCCGAGCAUAUUGCCGGACACCUCCGUCUCCGGCUCCCGCUCGAGGCCGCACGCCAGAAACAUGCCUCUAGCCUCGCCGUCGGUCUCCAUCUUGACUCGCCCGCCGGCACCGUCCACGUCAACCAUCGGCUGGAUGAGCCCCAAUGCCUCCAUGCAGAACGGCUCCUCCUCGGUCCCUUCGUCCAGGCCGCGGCCAAGAAGCGCUUCCAUGUCGGCCGCGAACUCCAUGAGCUCGGCGUCCGUGGGGCCGAAGCUGACGACGCUGUCGGGGAAGAAUUGAUCAACUGCCAGAGACGGCGCCGCAGGCUCCGUCGGGCUCUCGAGCACAACGACGCGGUCCUCGUUGCAGCACGACGCGUAGUCUUCGAGAUGCCGCGGCGACGACGGCGAGCAGAGCUCCGCGAGGGCGGGGUCAAAAACGGGCACGCUGUACAGCAGCUCCUCCUCGUCAGUCUCCCCCUCAAAUAACUUGUGCUCCUCCGGCGAGCCUUCCCCACCGGACGCCUCGUCCGGCACCACGACGGGCCGCCGCGACGACAGCAGAUGCCCGAUGACGCUCUUGCCGCGCGGGGUCCGCGGCUUGCGCUUGAACCAGGCCGGGACGACCUCGUCCCCGCGCCUGGCCCGCGGGCCGCCGGCUCCGGCCUGAAGCGGCGACGUGGGCCGCAGGCGCACUCGCUCGUGCCGCCGAGCGAGAGGGUUCGCGGAGUGCACCGACGCGUCGCACGCCUGGCAGAGGAACGCGUCGUCCGCGGCGCAGUACCACCUGGCCCGCCGCCGCAGGCAGCCGUCGCAGGCGCGCGCCGCCUUGCUCCCCAUCGCGCCGGCCGCCGCCUUAGCCAACGAGCUGCUCAUCAAAAAAUCAAACCACACUAGCUGGCUGGCUGGCUACUCGCCUAGCUACUCCCGUCGUGUCGGCGCUGUACCGUACUGUACGUAGAAACGGGAAUGUAUCUCCGGCGAAAAUAUCGCGGGGUGGGUUUAUAGCAGGCAUGGCGGAUCGAGGUGGCCCCGGCUCGUACGCUUUUUCUGGGCCCGCGCGGGGUGUACUUUGCACUUUUGGUGCGUCUGUUGGCCACAACCGCGGGCCUUAUCUGCGUCCUGAUUGGCUGAAAGGUAAGACACAUCCAGCACGUAGGCCUCUGAUUGGCUCGUGCCGGAUUUUUGGUGGGGGCCUCCCUCCCUUUGGGCUACGCGACGAUCGGGCCCAGAAAGGCCUUUCCGUGUCGCACUCGUGGUUGCUCUGCGGUUUGCUACGUCGCCGGAGACGGGAUCCACUAGGACGUGCCGGGACCCUGGUAGAAACAUCGUUCGCCGGAGAAAGGGUCAUUUGUUUUUCUACCAGGCUCACUGCAAAAACAUCGUUCCCGAAAUCCAUGAUGCUUGCCACUUGUAGAAUAGACCAGGUUUCUAACUACGAGUAUCAAGAAGGCACCAUUUCUCACGGACCGGCCUAAAGCGAGCGUUAGGCAGGUCCGGGGACGGAUGCGAGGGGUUCUUGUGAUGAGCCGCUAAACCUUUGGUAAUAUAGGUUAAAGGUUAGCCUUUUACAAUCUGUGCGGUCGAAAGGUCGGUCUGUUCGGUUCCUACGAUGGACCUCUUUCCUUCUCAAACACGACUGAUCGAGGCAUCAAGUUACGAUCAAUCCAUUCAAUACACAGAAACAAGAAAUAGCGGCUUCCAAGCAGGCGAGAAAUAAGCAAUACAUUUAUAUACAUGUCGAGGGAUAUGAAUGGAGAACAACGAUGCGAGAACCAUGGUUCCAGUGUUGAUUUGUGAACCAACGAAACAGCGAAUGGAAGAAAUGUGUGAUCGAAGGGCCGACGCUAGGGUCGAUCUAAUUAUGGCUUUGCUUGGCCCUUCUAAAAGAUGUAUCGGUAUCCCGAUGGCAAACCUUAGAGUGAACUAAAGAGGUUUUUUUUCUUUUUCGAAGAAGCAUACAAAAGAGACCUCCACGCCUAAAUCUAUACCUAUCUAAAAAAUACGAAUCGUUUCCUUCACUAUCCUCCGUCAAACUUUCCAUAAAAUUUGUGGAUCCUCAGGAUUGCAUGUAUAUUAGGCCUACUAAGCCGGCUGGCCCACUACCUGCACUGAAUCUAUCUAUAUCUAUAUCUAUACCAAUGUAAAAAAUACGGACCGUUUCAUCUUUUUUCCUUCCUUUUUUCGUCAAGCUCCUUAGACCCACCUCGUCCGCCCGCCCGCAACCACUCCUUUGUCUGCUCCAGACGGCCGAGCUCCCUUCUCCUGACGCAGCCCAAUAGGAGACCCUUCCUAAUCCAACAAAACUACUUCCCCUGACGCGGCGGAAAAAACGCAAUUAAAAGCCCAAAGAUAUCUCUUCAUACAUUCGACCUUACUCUCUUGCUUUGGUGAUGCUCGUUAUCUAUAGGUGCAACGGCAGAUUGAUCCUGCGAUGCAGCAUAUGGUCCAGCAUGCGGUGCUUCCUUCCAUCCGAGAGCGGGUGGCUCUGGCAUGCAGGCUCCAUCUUGUCAUACACCGUUUAAUUCUACAGAAAACAGGGGAACAACCUCGUUCUCUCAGCCCUCAUCCCCAUCGUGUUGAUCUGAGCCAUUCUGACUCAGUUCGCAUCCCACUGGUUUCUUUCGAACUGAGCUCGUCUCUGACUAGGUUAGACCCUCACAUAGUAACACUAAGAUAGGCAGAGCUGAGAGGCUCUUAGGAGUUCAAGUAGCUAGCCCGGGGAGCCACCCUCGGUAACCUGUAAACACCCUUAAAUCAAUGGAAUCCAAGCACAAAAGCAGGACGUAGGGUAUUACACCUCCGGGUGGCCCGAACCUGGGUAAACUCCUCAGUGUCACACUUUGUGUCUUCGUCACGUCGGCGAUCACUCGGGAGCCGCUACGACAACGUGCGCUAAGGUGGUUCAGUCGUGAUUACGGGGGAUGAUUGAGGAGGGGAAAAGAAAGGGAAAGGCCAUGAGAUACGGUUCAGAGCACCUGGACGGGUCACGGGCCGAGGAGGCAUCGUCGAGGGCGGAGAUUGCAGCGGCCGGCGCGUGUGUGUGCUGUUUUUGGCACGAGGAAGAAGACGGGCAAAGGCGCUCGUCCGAGCAUGGGCUGGACGCUCUCGGGGAAGCUGACCCAAGAAGGAGAACGGGUGUGGCCCAAGAGAAAAAAAAACAAAAAAAGAGAAAAAAAACUAAAAGUGGUUUGACUGGGCCGUGGGAGCGCACGGGCAUUCUGCUAGUAUGGAAAAAAGAUAUCACCCAUGGCGUCGGGGAUUUUUUAAUCAUGCAUGUGUUGGCAUAGAUGAUGCUGUGGGACUUGGCGGUUGAUGGGCACCUUUUUUUCUUGGACAGCGGCGUGCGGUUGAUGAGCACCUAAUUGGAACGUAGCAGCAAGGUCAGGGUGCGCUUACAAAACACUCGGACUCGCGUUGAUGUGUUGAUGCAGACGUGAGAUAUGCCAAAAUGUGUUUAUUUGUAUGGUUAAGAUAGUGCCUUGUAAAUGUCGUUAAAAGAAAAAAAAGAAUGAGCCAAAUUUGGUGCCGGGAUAGAAAGUAAGCAGUACUCCCUCCGAUUCUAAAUUCUUAUCUCAAAUUUGUCCAAAUAUAGAUGUAUCUAUUCUUAAAACGCGUUGAUACAUGUAAUAUUUCGUCAAUAAUUUAGGAUCGGUAGUUAUUAACUACAGUUAAGAAACCAAAUUAGUUAGCUAUGCAACAUCUUCGUCCAAGGUGACAUCAUAUAUAGGACGUAUACAUUUAUGCAUAUAAAGGUAUACAAGAUAUAUAUGAAUAUACGGUAUAAGUUACACCUAUACAUUUCGGGGAGUAUAAAUAUCCAAGUCUCCAAAGCUGCAUACAGAUUGUGUAGAUGGUUGGUGCACGUGGGCUUGCUUUACCCAGAAAUAUCGUUCUGCUAGUUUCCAAGAUCGCUCCAGAAAUUAUAAUCUUUAGAAAAAAGUCCAUUUUGAAUCCUGAACUUGUAGAACUUGUCUGAAUCAAACCCUAACCUUCUAAUCCUGGGUUCUCAGCCCCUCACCUAUCUAACCCGGAUCAAUUUAAACAUUAUCCCGAAAUUUCCUGUUUGGCUAGGUCAGGUUAACGACGUGUCUUAGGAUCUGGUGAGCGAGCAUUGUAUGUGGGUCCCGGCUACUUAUUUUUAUAAGGUUAUACCUGAAAAAAUCACUCGAAAAAAAUUACCCACAUUUUUUUCUAAAAAAAACUACUAGGCAUCUGGUGAGGAUAUCGGCAUUCUUCGAGAGCAUACGCGCCGGGAGUGCCGGUUCCGGCGAGCAGCGAGCCAAGCCAUCGCCCCGCCUAAGAAAAUGUAUCAGAAGACCUUAGCCAACAUAGUUAAAAAUAUAUUUAAAGACGCUCUAAGAAAAUUAGUAACGGUUAUUCUCGUUAGUUAUUUCCUAAACAUAGUUAAAAAUAUCAAAAUUAAAAAAAUAAGAGAUACCCUCCGUCCCAUAAUAUGAGGCACGCACGUAUUCCUAAAUCAUCAAUUUGAUUAAUUAAAUAUAUAUUUUUCUUAACAAAAAGUACAUCAUUAGAUUUAUCAUCGAAAGAACUUUCUAAUGUCAUAAUUUUAAUUAUUUAAUUUCUAUUUAAUUAGCUAAAUUAACGAUUUAGGAAUGCGUGCGUGCCUCAUAUUAUGGGACGGACGGAGUACGAGAGCAUCAUUUGGGUCCUUCCUCUAGUCUUAGCCAGCAAUCCCGGUGUUACGUCAACAAAACCAGUCCGCCAAACACCAUUUUCGGGAUUAAGGGGCUUAAUUGACCGGGAUAGUAAGGUCAAGGUCUGAAAUUUAAGGAUUCAAAAGUUAAGGUCUGAUUCAGACUUUGUCUACAAGUUCAGGGUUGAAAAUAGACUUUUCUCCAAUCUUUAUAUGGUAUGUGCAUAGCUGGAUCUUUAUGCCGCACCAAUACAUGCGUAGGUGUCCAUAAUCAAAUCAGAAAGAAAAAACAUUUGCGAGAGCACACUAUAAACCUCAAGGUAGAGUUUGAGUAGUUAUCGUUUGACUGGUUAGCAAUAUUCGUAUUGAUAUUGAGCAUCUGAUUCCUAUAUUUCUAGAAAGGGGAUAACCAUGCCAAGUUCGUGCCUACGUGCCAAGGGAUUUGGCAGUUGGUAUGCUCACCCACACUAGCGUUGUACGGCACAUUCGUCCGCUUUCAAUAUUUUAGCCACUUCUCCAAAGUGUCGCUUUUGUUAUGUUCCCGACACAGAAAGGAGCACAGGCAAUAAGACUUCCACGUCACUCCAAAGUCCAAACACACAGGUGAUUGAAGGCCAAGAAUCUCGUUUCUGGACUUAACAAAGAUACAAAUGACAGUAUUACUGCAAUUUUAUUCGCCAUAAUUUUCAUGGCUCCUAUGGAAGGGGAAAAUCAUACUGUCCUCGUCAACAAUAUAGGACUUCUUAUCCUGUUUUCGUGGAUAAUGGACAAAGAUCUUCCCCAUUAUCUAUAGUGUGAGAUGUGCACACGCUCAACCUCAAACCAUCAGGAAGCACGCUUUACCUUGAUGUGCCACGAAAGUAUUUACAAACUUGCAGAAUCUUCCUUUUGCCUUUUUACUUACAAGGAUGUAGUACACUCAUGCAUGCCCACUAAUACAUGCAUGUAUGCGCGUUCUAGUGAAAUACAUACUAGAUUUAAAGCGAGGGAAACUCAGACAGGUUGCGCGUAACUUUACCAAUUAUCUUUACUAUUCCUUAAUUUGCAGUUGCGUCCGUGGUAGACCGUAGUCUCGUACGUCGUCCCAACUUUAGAGAAAUUACAUCUCUGUGCCACCGCCCGAACUCCCGAAUCGUUUUUCUUCUCUUUCGUUCUCUCGCGUCACACCCCGCCCGCUGCGGCCCGCGCACGGCCACCACCGCCCACCCGCCUCUCCUCUCCCUAAAUCUCUCAUCUCCACCGGAACCGACUCGAUCUCUUCCUCUCCCUCACAAUCUCUCCCGCGCCCGUCCCUCCAUGUGCCAGUCCACGCUGCUGUCGCCAUGGGAUGGAGGACUGCCGGUCCCCACGGACGCCGCCGUCCCGCCGCCGAGGACGGGCGCCUGAGGAGAGCUCCGCCGUCAUGGCCUCCUCCUCCGGUUCCAGUCGCCACCACCUCGUCCCCCCUCGAGGAAAAGCGCACGGCGACGACUUCGCGUCAUCGGAUCCGGCCUCCCCCAGCCUCGACGCCGCAGGGACUGUUAGAGUAAUCUUGAGUUUGAGUCUAGCUAGGUGCAUGUGUUUGUGUCCUACAGAUUAGGAGUGUGUCUAUGCGUGAGUUAGUAGUGUUCAUGUGCAUGUGUGAUUCAGCGUGAGUUGUGUUCGAGUAGGACUAGUAUUCCGUAUGGUGUUGGGCUUGUGCGUGUAUAUAUACGCAUGCAACCCUCUAACUUGCAAUCAAGGUGGUGGGAUUUGAGAUAUUGAGAAGAAAUAAAAAGAGAGGCACGACAGGUGCAUCUGGCCAAAUAAAUUCCCGACCGUGGGCGUCUUCAUGUGACUGAUCUUUGGGCAAACCCAACAUUUGGUAUCAGAGCGAGGUCCAAGAUUUGAAGACGUGCUUGCCCCGGGGAGGCGAUGUGCUAGCGCCUCGGGGCGGGCAACGAUGGCGGAGCGGCGUCCGCGGAUUGAAGCGGUCAAUCGGCUGAGUGGCGUCUGCAGAUCAAAACGAGCGAUCUGGGGCUGUGCGGUGGAGUAGAGUGCAACGGAUUGGAUCGAGUUGUCGUUGUGGUGGGCCGAUCUUCUAGUAACGGGAGAUCAUAAUACUGAUUGCCGGAAAGUACUCAGCAUCAGGGCAAACUAUCAUCGGCAAGCUCGUUGAAGAGUUAUGCGUGUCCAGAUCAGCGUCUGUGAGUCGUGGUUGUGUUCGAGUGCUCGUCGGUGCGAGGCUCUGUUGCAGUGGAAGCAUGUUACGGUCGAAGGUUGUCCGGUAUGGUGUGUCAUCGGAGCAAGAGAUCGACGUGCGUGCAGACAAGGUGGCAUGUGGCCAUCUCCGUGUCUCGGCAAGAAGAUCAAAAUUGGCGUGUAGUGGGACCAUGAACAGUUUAGUUGAGUUCCUGCGUGAGAUUAAUGGUGCGUCUAAUCUGCACGUAGCACGCGAGAUGUGUCCGCAUGGGCUGGUAGUCCGGAUCAUGCGUUGAGUUGAGUCGACGAGUCGUGAAGCUGAAGAGAGCCAAGAUCAGGGAGAGCGCAUGAAGACAGCAACUUCAAGAUUAGGAGGAGAUUGUUAGAGUAAUCUUGAGUUUGAGUCUAGCUAGGUGCAUGUGUUUGUGUCCUAAUCAGAUUAGGAGUGUGUCUAUGCGUGAGUUAGUAGUGUUCAUGUGCAUGUGUGAUUCAGCGUGAGUUGUGUUCGAGUAGAACUAGUAUUCCGUAUGGUGUUGGGCUUGUGCAUGUAUAUAUACGCAUGCAACCCUCUAACUUGUAAUCAAGGUGGUGGGAUUUGAGAUAUUGAGAAGAAAUAAAAAGAGAGGCACGACAGGUGCAUCUGGCCAAAUAAAUUCCUGAUCGUGUGCGUCUUCAUGUGACUGAUCUUUGGGCAAACCCAACAGGGACUGGGCUCCUCCGACCCUGCCGCGGUCGGAUCCGGCUUUCCCCGACCCCUCUCUGGAGAUCGAUUCGUCUCAUCACCUAUCAAAGCCGCCGCGUUGAUGAACUGUGCCUCCAGAGUUUGAAGUGCCGCCGCCGCCUCCAUGGGAAUCGUCACCGCCGCCUCCUGGAAUCACCAAUCGGCGCUGCCGGUUCACUCUACGCGGCCCGACCUCAAGGAAUCGAGCCGCCCGUGUCUCCAAAGGUCGAGAUCGCCACCUCGACUCAAGCCGCCGCCUCCUCAGAUUGAGGCCGGCGCCUCCAUGCUCCUCCAACCGCCUCCUCAGUGGCUACUCCCAUUGCCGAGCUACGCGAGUUCGUCACCAGGCACUCAGAAUCGCACAAGAAUUAAUUUAUGGCAUCAUAUGUUUUCUUUUACUAAAAUUACCUAUGCAGGAGUCCUCUUUGGAGAUUAAAAUAAAUGUCUCUGCUGGAAUGAAAAUCAUGUUCCCUUUUGCCGAACAAACACAAUGGAAUUUGGAGAACAGGAGCCUACAGAUUUCCUUAUGUUUAAUUACACUUUUACUGAAUGGUGCACAAGUUCCAAAGAUAGCUCUACUGUUUUAAUUAUUUAAGAUUAAUGGUCUUGCUAGAAGGUCAAAGCUAUAAAUUGUAUGUUUUAGGAAAUAUCAUCUCUUGCUUAUUGGCAGAGUAACUGAUUGCUUAGUUGGUCAAAACUGCUGGAGCCUUUGAAAGAGUUAAGACCAUUAAUCAAGGAGGUACGUCUAGCUGGCCAUUAAGGGCAAGUAUGCUAAGCUUACUACUGAUUAUGUGUACCCAUGUCAACAUAGACUUCACUAAGACCUCUUGAUGAAAUUUUAUUUGUGUUCACUGCAUAAAGCCAUAAACCAUGUUUGGCUUGUAGGUAGUUCCUAUUACCUCCAUGAUGUAUUUGCUAGCAUGAUGUGUUGCAUUUUAAUUGUCUUUUUCUUGUUCAAUAGGGCAGAUUUGGUAUUUGGGAGUGGAAGAAACAUGGCUAAAGCAAGUGUUUAUUUUCAGGCUAAUGCUUACCGAAUUAAUCUGUUCCCUUUCUGUAGAACUCUGCUAUUGGUUUAACUAAGUACCACCUUAGUGUUUGAUAUAUACUCCUAAAAUAGCCAGGCUUGUGCUGAACCAUGAUUGGUUAGUGACCUGUUGAGUGUUGACCUAUAUGUUGUUUGAAUAGCCAGACACUGGCUGAGAAAAACUUCAAUUGGGGAUUGAAGUUUAGUGCCCUGAAUGUUGGUUGUUUUUACUGCACAAGUUGACACAGUCCAGAGAGCGGGAGGAUCAUCAAGGAUCAACAUAUCAAGUGAGCUACUCGAAAUGAUGUGAGAAAGAAGGUGGCUGAUACUUGGGUGCGAUGGCGAUGGAACUGGAGAAGUCAGCUUAAGUUUCUACGUGUAUCUAAAUAUUGUCAUUUAAAAUACACAAGAGUGGUUAUAUUACUGAUCCUGUAGGUACCAGAUUACCAAUCCAUUACAACCUUCAACAAAUGAGUUGUUCAAAAGAAAGUUCUGAGAAAAGUGUUACUUUCAGUUAUUCGUGUAGUCAAAGGAAUACUUUUGCCACUAAUUUACCAAAAUAGAACUACAUAAGUACUACCUUGCCUUGUCAGUAGUAGAAGCUUUUUUUUUUUUUUUUCUGAAGUAGGCAUAGGUCUCAGCUUCUCAAGUAAAUUCUCGAGGUUAGUUUGUUCAUGUUCUUCGGUUAACUUGCAUUCUGUAACGCCGAUUUUGUUUUGCACGAAUGUCAGGCCAUUUUUAGUGAACAAAUUGGAGCCACAAUAUCUACUUGAUGGCCGCAGAAAAGUAUAUGAGUUAUUAUCACUGAAGAAUUCAUUCACUUCUCUGUUACUCAAUAGAACAAUCUUCAUAUUCUGAUCAAAAUCAAAUACACUCCAAGGUAAUUUAUCUCUUUAUUUGUACAAUUUCCUUGUACACAACAGCGAUCUUUUUCUGCAUGCUAUCAAGUUAGUGGUUCAUUAUAUUGGUCAUGGUAGGAAGCUCUUGACUGAAGGGGAUGUACAGUUGAGCCACAUGUUUUAGAGGUAGGAAAAUUAGUUUUAUGCUAUCAAGACUUGAUGAGUUCAUCUUUUCAGCCUUCCACUGUAGGAAACUGAAAAAUGCCCGGAACAAAUGCAAAAUGUACUUAGAAAAGUGCACAUAUGAACGAAUGUUUUAUUUCUCGCUAUUGGUGCAUAAUUUUUUUUGUUGAAAAUGAUUCUCUUCGUAUUCAUCAGCCGCAAAUCUCUAAUCAUGUAUUUAUUGUUGUCCGCAAAUUUCUAAUCAUGUAUACAUUAUUGUUGUUUUUGUCUCUCCGUUGCAACGCACGGGCACUUAGCUAGUAUAUGUAUAUGCUCGAUUUGGGCAUAUUCUCCCAGUGAAACCCACGAAGGUGCCGGAUCCUCCUCCAAAUAAUACGGAGUACGUACAUCCAAGUGGGAUUUGGCCGCGAGUGAGAUCCUAACCCAGGGCAUCAACAUCAAGCCCAUCAUUGCGGUCCAGUGGGAGAAGAAGGGCACAUUUGAUGAUCCAAGGCAUAUUUGUGCCAAUUGCACAGUGUAUGUCCAAAGUAUAGUGGUAGGUGGUAACGCCACAGGCCCACAGCCCAGACCCUCUCAAAAAUUUGAACAAGGCCAUAUAAAACCUCAUUAUAAAUUGGUUGACAGUGAAAGGUUGAGUUAAACUUUAUUUGAAACGAACCUUAGGAAACUUUCUCUUUGGUACUAGAGGCUGGCUAUUAUGUGUUUAUCCACUACUGACUCAAGUCCUUGUCGAGGUGUACCUGUUGUCCUCAUACACAAUACGUGUCGCUUUCAAAGAGAGAAAAUACAAAUGGAGCAUAUAUAGGAUUUGAGCUAACGUCAUAUAAAGGGGUCUGAAAGGAGGGAGGGACGCGUCUUGACAAGUGAAUGGCCAGCCGAGAGUAGGGAAUAAGUGGUAGUCCGAGUUAUUGCCCCACACAAAACCACAAAAUAAGAGGUUCUCACACAGCACACACAGGCACUAAUACUUAUUACAUGCAUAUGGAAAGCAUUAGGACAGAUCAAAAUAUAUGUAGCAUACAUCUUCAGUUGCUUCAUGUUUAUGAUCAGGUUCUUCAUCUUCAGAUUCUUCAUGCUCAGAAAACACCUAUUUCUUACUCCUGGGUUUCUUCUGAUCAUGCUUAGCUUUCUUGGUUGCAUCUUCAUCAUCACUGUGGGAUUGCUUUUGCUUUUUCUUCUGACUCUAAGAUUCAAUGUCAUUUUUUGCCAGGCCAAAUCUUUCGUUGAGGUUCCUUAUAAUCUUCUUGGAGAUCUCUGGCGGCUUGGCAGAGCAGGCUAAGCAGUGCCUAUCAACACAAGUGUUGUGCUUAUAACCUCCAUUCUUCUUAUUAAUCCUUUCACUUCUUCUCACCUCUGUGACAACCAGAGGUGCCUUUUUUUCUCUCUUUCCUCUGAUAGCAGAAGUGGAGGCAAUGUCAGGGAGGCAUGGCAGUUUUGUAGGGGCAUGUGGAGUAAGGUAACCCUUACUUAUCAUAGCUGCUCUGGCAGUGAGAUCACAUUUCAAUGGUGAUGAGCUAGGACAUGUAUCAGGUAUAUAAAAAUCUUUAGAUAAUGGAGCAUUCUCUGAAAAGAUGGUCCACAUGUUGGACAAAAGUACCUUACUGGCCCAUUCAAAACUCUCAGGGGAGAUUAGGGAGGCAGUGAAGAAAUCAACCCAUGGCUGAGGGACUGAUAUAGAAUUCCUGUUGCUCCUAGGGCAGAAGUGCUUUAUCCAUAUCUCAUUGCUAUCAGUUGAAGUAUGAAGCAGUUCCAGGUUUGGUUUAGUAAGGUGUGGUCCAUAUAAAGCAGGAAAGUUCUCCUGUGGGUGGUUGAAUGGAGGAAUGAUGACCCUACCAAUCUGCAUAUUCUCUUGACCAUCAUUCAACAUAUUAUUAUGACCAGCAUGGACAUUCUGCAAAUCAUGGUGAAUAUUCUCACUAGCUGCAGUAGGCAGUUGCAUUUGGUCAGCAGGCUGGGCAUCAGGUGCAGCAAUGAAAUGCAGAGCAUGCAUAUCCUGAUCCUGUGGCAUUUGAAGAAGAACAUCCUCCAAGUGAAUGUGUUGGACAUUCUGUUCAGGUGCAACAAUCUGAAAAGCAUUGACCAGGGCAUUCUGUGGUGGCUCAUGUUGAAUGACAUUAAGAUCUAGAUUCAGCACCGGAUUACCCUGUUGGGCCAUAACAUGCAGGGGCCCAGGAGGUAUUCCACUGACAGAUCCUUUAGACAAAAGUGGUGCUGGUGCAUUUGAACUAAGUGAUAAGGUCAGUGCACUUUCAUCAUCCUAGUCAGGUGCUGGAUUGGGGAUAACUGCUGCUUGAUUUCCCUCAGGAAGGAAAAAGAGGUCAUGUGCAUUUGCACCAGCAUUAUGCAGAGCUUGGUCCCAUGGGCCCCAGAAAUCCGCUUCCAUGUUAAGAUCAGGGAUGAUAGGGCCAUGAUUUGCAUUAUUCCCAUGGUCUUCUUCAAAAGGCAGAACUGGGAGUGGGUGGGGUGUGUCCCCAUCGCCAGGUCGAGCAUCUUCGUCAGUUGGGAGUGCACUCAUGAAAGCCUGAUGAAGGAUAUAAACAGGGGCAACCCAUGUUUCUCCUUGAAAGUCAGAUCCAUGGGACAAAAGAAGGCUGUAAGGAACCAAAGAAAGAUCCACCACUUUGACCUUGAUGAUGAUUCUAGAGUAGUUGUUCACAGUUCUAUCCCAGAGAAUAAGCUUUCCCCAAUCAGCAAUGGCAUUAGCAAUGUGCUCAGAUGUCCAAAUGUCAAGAUGAAACCCUAAGAUCAUGAGCCAAACUUCCUGGUUAUAGGUGAAACCCCUCCAGUUCUGGGCUCGGUUAUGCUCAGUGAAGGUAAAAGUGAUGCCAUUGUGUUGGUGCGGACCAUUACGAACUAGCCAAUCUCUAUCAAUGGCGGAGUGCAGACGAACAAAUGCAUCACCAAUCGCACUACGCUAAAUAUGUUCGACCUGAAGCUGAAGAUGCUCAGCAAGAAGAUGAUUCAGAUACCUCGAGUCUCCUCAAAGAGAGCAUCAGGAUUCGGAGGAGGCUGGAGAGUCACAAUCGCGACAUCCUCGUUUUGCGGCUCAAUGCGACCACGGAUAUGGUAUCUGCUGUGCUGUGGUCGUCCCUCCGCGUCAAUGAUGUCGAAGAGCCCGAGGACGAACGGCACCGGGUCGACGACGAAGUUCGCCAUUAGUGAGCUUCGAGUGUCGGAGCUGCCGAGGGCGCAUAGGCAGGAUGGGGUUUUGGUGGAGCUUCGGUGGAAGACGAAGGACCCCCCCCCCCCACCACCACCACCCCCUGAGCAAUAGAAUAAUGGGCAAAAUCACUGAAUGAGGAGUAGUAUCGGGGUGCUUGGUGGUGCUCGGCCGUGGAUCUAAACCACGUGUCAGUCAUCCCCUUAGGCCAGUGAGAUUUGGACACCUUUGGAAAUUUGGGGGCAGGAGAAAUUCCUGUAAAAUACCCAAAAAUUGGUGACUUAGCAAAAGUAGCCCCUUCCUUCCUUGCGCGGCAAAAUCUGUAUGUGUGCCUAGGCUUAUAACAGAAUCUACAGUGCAUAGCAUUCCUGCACCGGCUAAAAUGAUGGCCCAUUUUUAGGCAUCGGGCACAUGUGGGCUGCGGCCCAUUAACUCCUGGUGAAACAUAAUGGCAUUGAUUGAAUUGAAUGUCCAAUUGAUUGCCCUGAUUAGCCACCUCCUGAGACUGCUCGCAUGUGAUCUGUGGUUCGAAUACCGUCUUCUCCGGCAAUGGUGCGAGCAAGGGUUCCGCCGCCGCCGAGUUGGCCGGAAAAGUUAAUCUUCGGAAAAUAGUACCAAUAGCCACCGGCUUUUGCUGCUGAUCCCUGAAUUUAGCAAUAUGAUUCUCUUUGCACUGCUAGAUAUCUUCAACUGAAUAUCCUGCAUCAGCGAGAUCAAACUCCUUGGUCCUGCUCCAGGGUGACAAUGGCGGGGAUGAGGCCUUUGAUCCCAAUCUAUUGAAAACCGAUUGCCGAGAAAUAGGAACAUCAUUAGAGCCAGUGAGGUAGUUCGUGCCUGAGCUGCAACUUGUACAAAGCUUCUACUAGCCCGGGGAGGAGAUUGUGCCUUCUUGGGAGAUUCCCAUUUUAGGAGUUCCUCUUUUUCCCAUGCAGCAAAUUCCUUGAUGAAAUCUGGCCCUCCAAAGCCCCAAAGAUGGAAGUAAACCACAAAAUUGGUGCACGUAAAAGAAUUGAGCCCAGCAAUGUGAAAGCCAAUGUUCUUGUUAGUAACAUAGAAUCUGAAAGUGCGGUCCCGGAGGUGGCAGACACGGAAUUCCUCUAGUGAUCCCCCAAGGCACAUUGAGCAGAUUACCCACCGAUUCCUCAAUGCGACAGAACUUGCAUCGUCCAAAGGAGGCAACCAUGAAGAAAUUUGGUCGCCUAGAUGGGGGAACGGUGAUUGGCAGCCGCCACCUGUGCAUACAUUCUUGCCGGAGAUUUUCCCUAGGUCGGUGAUCGAUUUGAAGAUCCAUACCUUGUGAUGAAUUCUUACCAUGUGGUGGAGCCGCAGCUGCAGUUGGCUCCACCGGUCUUUUUUCCAUGACCGAGAGAUCCAUGGCCGCCAUAGAGGAGGAUCCUGGGUGGGCGAGGUGGGAGGGCAGUCGGCCGUGUUUCCAUGGCCGAGAGAUCCAGUGAGGCCGCCAUAAGGACGGCGAGGUCGCCAUAGCCUCAGAGCUUUUGUUUCCGUCAAAUGUUACUGACGAAAAAAUGCUCAAAGAAAUGGAAGUGGCGGCUGCGUUCUUGUUCGCGCUCCAAAAGGAAUCCAGAAUAUUAGGGGUAUUAAUGCUGAUAAUUGCAAAAAAAAUAGAGGAAAGUGGAUGCUCCAUUAUUUGUCUUCAAGAAACCAAGAAAGAAACUUUCGACCCAAACUUCAUUCACAAUUUCUGCCCUCGAAGAUUCACUAAAUUUCAUUACCUGCCAUCUGUGGGGAGAUAAGGGGGUCUUUUAGUGGCUUGGGUUGGAUCACUCUUUUCUGGAGAAUUACUUUUUACGAACGAUUUCUCAUUGUCUAUCAACUUCAAAUGGCUCAAAUCGGGCAAGGAAUGGAUUUUGACCAAUAUUUAUGGUCCCUGUACUGAUGACAAGAAGAAAGAUUUCAUCAACUGGCUGAACCAAAUAGAUAUGCCUGACACCAUGGAUUGGUUGAUCCUUGGGGAUUUCAAUUUCAUUCGAUCACCUGACGACCGAAAUCGGCCUGGUGGAAACAUUGCUGAUAUGUUGGCCUUUAAUGACACUAUAAGCAAUUUUGGUUGGGUAGAAUUACCUCUGAAAGGAAGAAAAUUUACCUGGAGUAAUAUGCAAAAUGAACCACUUAAAAAGUUGGAUUGGUGUUUCACAUAUCUGAGCUGGACUUUGAACUAUCCAUCGACAGAAUCCUUUCCACUAGCCAAAUCUACUACAGAUCACGUCCCUUAUGUGAUUAAAAUUGGCACCAGUAUCCCAAGAUCACAUGUCUUUAGUGAAAACAACUGGAUCAACAAACCAGGAUUCAAGCAGAUUGUCCAGGAGGCAUGGAAUUGUCACCACCACAUCACUGAGUCUGGCAAAAAGAUAUCUGCCAGGAUAAAAACGCUCAGAUAUAGGAUGAGAAAAUGGACCAAAAUGCCAUCUGAGAUGGACUCACUUAUUGAAGAUCUCAAUUGUGUCAUUUUACUUCUUGAUGGUAUUGAGGAUACUUGAGGGCUUACACAGGAAGAAUUCUGUUUCAGAAAUAAAUGCAAGGACACACUAGAUGAAUGUCUCACUUCCCAGAAAACUUUUUGGAAGCAGAGGGGAAAAAUUAAAUGGGUUAAGCUGGGAGAUGAAAAUUCCAAAUUCUUUCACUCUCUUGCUACAAUCCAACAUAGAAGGAACCACAUCACCUGUGUCAAAAGGCUUGAUGGUUCUAUGGAGUUUGAACAUGAGGGCAAGGCUGCACUCUUAUGGGAAGCAUUGAAAGACAGAUUGGGCAAACCUGCUGGAGCCACCUUUCCAUUUAAUCUGAUGGACAUGUUGCAGCAACAUGCAGAUCUCUCUUGCUUGGAAGUCCCAUUUACUAUUGAGAAAAUUGACAGAGUAAUUCAAAAAUUACCUCAUAACAGAUCUACUAGACCUGAUGGUUUUAAUUCUGAGUUCAUACAAGCAUCCUGGGAUAUCAUUAAACAAGAUUUUUAUGAUCUUUGCCACCAAUUCCAUUCUGGAUACAUCUCCCUUGACUGUCUCAACACAUGUUUUAUUGCUCUCAUCCUAAAGAUUGACUCAGCAGAAUCUGUCCAAGAUUAUAGACCCAUUUCCCUUCUGAACUGCACUCUCAAGAUUAUCACCAAGCUAUUGGCCAACAGGUUGCAAUCCAUCAUUAAAAAUCUCAUCCACAAGAACCAAUAUGGCUUUAUCAAAACCAGAACUAUCCAGAGCUACAUGGCAUGGUCACAUGAAUACUUGAAUGCAUGCAACAAUUCACAUGAAGAAAUCAUUUUGCUCAAACUUGACUUUGAGAAAGCUUUUGACAUGGUUGAACAUGAUGCUCUCAUCAGGGUACUCCAGGUCAUGGGAUUUGGACAAAAAUGGAUUGAAUGGGUACAGAAAAUCCUUUCUUCUGCAUCAUUUAAUGUCCUCCUUAAUGGAGUCACUGGGAAGAUUAUCAAAUGCAGAAGAGGGCUCAGACAAGGUGAUCCUCUAUCACCACUCCUCUUUGUCAUCAUGGCUGAUGUGCUCCAAUCCUACAUCAAUCACCAAAUGCAGCUUGGCAUGCUCACAAGGCCAAUCACCUCUAAUAAUCUGCAUGAUUUUCCCAUUGUGCAAUAUGCAGAUGACACUCUCAUUUUCAUGAGAGUAGAUGUCCAUCAAAUAAUGCUGCUCAAGAACAUGCUUAUUAACUUCCAUUCUGCCAUUGGGACCUAAAAGUUAAUUUUCAUAAAUCAAAUUUGAUCCCCCUGAAUAUGGAUCAUAAUUCUCCCAGCUUCUAGCAGAGACCUUUGGAUGUAGAAUUGACAUUCUGCCAUUCAAGUAUUUGGGCCUCCCCCUUGGUAUCAGCAGGCCUGCUAUUCAGGACUAUCUAUCUCUCAUUAAACGUAUUGAAACAAAACUCACAUGCUUUUCUAACAUGCUGACAUAUGGCGGAAAGCUCCAGUUGGUUAAUUCGGUCCUUUCUGCAUUACCUUCAUACUAUAUGAGCACAUUCCUUUCUGCAUUACCUUCAUGCUAUAUGAGCACACUGCCUUUGGAGAGGUAAUGAUCUGACCAGGAAAAAUCCCCCACUGACUGCAUGGGAAAUUGUCUGUCGACCUAAAGCUGAGGGUGAUCUUGGUGUGCACAAUUUGAGUCUCCAGAAUAAGGCACUCCUUAUGAAAAAUCUGCAUAAAUUCUUCAAUAGGCAUGACACACCAUGGGUUCCACUUCUCUAGGAACUUUACUACCAAGAUGGUCUGCCUCCACAACAAGCCACUAAUGCAUCCUUCUGGUGGAAAGAUGUUCUCAAGCUCCUGGACACAUUCAAAAAAUUGGCUGUCUGCAACCCCCAUAGUGGAAAAUCCACCCUCUUCUGGAGUGACAACAUGAACAAUGUCUGUUUACAGCAGCAAUGGCCACACCUUUUCUCAUUUGCUACUAAUCAAUUCAUCACUGCUUAUGACAUGGUCAGCUCCAAUGAGCACACAUGCCACUUUCACCUACCUCUGUCUACUGCUGCAUAUGAGCAGUUUCUUCAGCUAAAUCAAUUCAUUCAGAACUGGGAAUCAUCUGUUGAAAAUGAUGAAUGGACUUACAUCUGGAAGAAGAACUCUUUUAUACCUGCCAAGGCCUAUGCAGCUCAAAUUGAGCACAUUAUCAUCUCUGCCAGUUUUCAUUGGAUUUGGGCAUCCUGCUGCCAUCUCAAACACAAGAUUUUCUUUUGGUUGCUCCUGAUUGAUAGACUAAUUACCAGAGCUAUGCUCCAAAGAAGGCAAUUUCACCUUCCAGCUUACACAUGUGUCAUGUGUGGAAAUGGAGACAUUGAGACGAGAGAUCACCUAUUUUAUUCAUGUCCAUUUGCCACUGCCUGCUAGACCUACCUGACCUCUCAAUUCCAUGUUCAAGAUAACAUUCGUGACAACAUAUCUCAACUCAAAGAAUUGCUUAAUCUGCCUUUCCAUAUGGAGAUUCAGAUCCUGGCUACUUGGAGUAUUUGGAUGACUCGAAAUGAUUAUAUCUUCAAUAAUGUUCAACCUAGUUUGUACCGAUGUAGAAGGAACUUUUCUAAAGAGCUUAAUCAUGUCUGGCACAGAGCAAAAAGAAAAAGACUUAAAGGCUUUGAAGCUUGGAUAGCAUCCUUUAAAUGAUUUUCCUUUUUUCUUGUAAAUAUACAUUUUUUUUAUUAAUAUAAUUUUAUGGCAAUAGGCUUUUAGACUAUUGUCUUUGCCCCUCAAAAAAGAGCACUGGAAUGGCGAAGAAAGACUGCCCAGGAGAUGUUUUAGAUUUCAGAGAAACAGUCAAUCCAAUGGAUAGAUGUACAACGACAUAAUUUUCGUUCUGAGCCCUGGGUGAUGAAGCGAUAUGUAAUGGUCUUUUUAGUCCAUAAGAUUUUCAAAACAUAGGAACAUGAAAAACAAAGUAUUGAAAUGUCAUGCCAUCUUAUUUUCUACACGAAGAGCAAAUACGGAACAAGCAAGUCAAGUUGUUUGCUUGCAGCACAGAAAAAAUUCAAAAAAUAUUAUGAGAAGUAUGUGCAUGGACAUAGGCAUCAUCAGGGACGGAGCCAAAUUUCCAACAUAGAAGAGGUAAAAUUUCUUUGUUAACUACAAUGUCUCCAUGUUUUUUUAAGAAUAGCUAAUCACGAAUGCCACACGGUAUGUCUCUGAUUUUUUUAAUGGGGGGAGGCUAUUUAACGGACAACCGCUGGAGUCUACCUAGAGACAGCCCAAAAAUGGGUUGUUAGAUUUUUUUUUGCCAUUUGGGAACUUUUUAUUUUUUUCCUUGUUGGCUUUUACCCUGAGGUAAAUACACCUGCGGUCCUACUUUUAUUGUCGCGGUGUCAGUUUAGUCCUAAAACUAUGAAACUGAACACUUUAAUCCUAAUUUUAUGAUAAGUGGUGCACGCGAGGUCCUAAGCUCGCUCGGGCGUCUGACUCGUCUACAUGGCACAUUUACCACGUACACGUCAGCUCAGGGGCGUUUGGCGAGAGUUUUGCUGUCGCGGCGGUUGGGAAUUUUUGCAGAAAACACCCUAUAAAAAUGUGGCGAUCUUCCUCUCUCUGUUUCCUCGUCCUCUCGGUUUUCUAUUCGAACUCUCUGUUUCCUCGUCUUCUCUUCUCGAUCGCCGCCACCGCCGUCAUGACAACGAGGACGAUGGCCAGCUCCUCCGUGCAGGGGCCAUCCCGACCAGCGUGUCCCCUCCUCUGCCUUCAGCGUGUCCCCGCUGGCUCGUCACUAUACCGUCGCCGGUCGCCACCGAGUCGCCACUACGUCGCCUUAGAAAUGCCGUCGGGUACGAAGGGAGAGGAACGGAGCGGGGAGAAAUAAAAAGGAUGCCUCCUCCGCCAGGGUUUUUUUUGCAAAAAAAUCCCAACUGCCGCGGCGGCAAAACUCCCGCCAAACGCCCCUGAGCAACCGUGUACGCGGUCAACGUGCCAAGUAGGCGAGUCAGACACACCCGAGCGAUCUUAGAACCUCGCGUACACCACUUAUCAUAAAAUUAGGACUAAAGUGUCCAGUUUCAUAGUUUUAGGACUAAACUGACACCGUGACAAUAAAAGUAGGACCGCAGGUGUAUUUACCUCCUUUUACUCGCUAUGUUCCAUAAUUCUUGUCUCAAAUUUGCGCAAAAAUGGAUGUAUCUAUUCCUCAAAAACGUCUAGAUACAUGUAAUAUUUCGACAAGAAUUAUAAAAUGUAGGUAGUAAUUUUUUUGAACUUUUAACUUUAUUCGAAGGUUUUAAAGGUUUUAAUUUUCAACUUUAAUUUUUUUUUAACUUCAAAUUUUUAUCUUCUGAGGUGGAUUUCCUCCGCCGAUUUGAUGUUGGCGGUUGGGCGUGGAAGAGGGAUCCCGUUUUUAAUGCUAGACAAAGUUUUAAAGUAUAGAGAAAGAUGUUGGCCGCAGAAGAUGGCAAGAAGAAAGGUGGAACGAUCUGCCGUUUAGUUAUGGAGAUGAUAAAAAGGAAAUAGAAGUAAUAAAGCUCCUUUUGAUGCCUCUUGGGCAGUUGGGUUAGGAUUCUGUGAUCAUCCUGCUAUUAGUGGGCUUGCAUUUUGAGAGACUUGGGCUUCAGCAUCGGGAACACCCUCCCUGCAUGCUCGCCCUCCUCUAAAUCCUCCCUCGUAAUUAUAGAUUUUUUUAAAACCUUCUUUGGACUAUCCAUUUCAUUCCGAUGAUGGGAUUGCGCUAAAGAAAUUUCAUAAGAUGUGAUUUUUUUUUCCUCCAAAUUUUGGAGCAAGCAUGAGGUCUAACCUCCUAAAAAAUAGUUUGAAUGUUCCAAUGCAUUUUCUCUCUAUCUCUCUCCUCUCUUGCUCCCGUCUUUUUCCAAUUUAGCAUCCAAACGCAUUUUUCAAGCAACUCUUGUCUUUUAGAUUCCUUUAGUAUUAUUCAAUACUAUUACAUGGUAUUCCAGUCCUAGGUUUUUCUAAUUCCUUCCUUGGAAUUGAGUGCAAAGUAAACCACAAGAAGAUUCCUAUAAAAAUAUAUUCCUACAAUUCAAAGAAACCAAAAAAUUCCUAAAGCAUCCUGCAAAUCAAAGAAACCUACUAACAAAAUUCCUAAAGAUUCUUGUUGUCUGUUUCUGUUGGCCCCACG